This 69487-nucleotide long non-coding RNA is filed under the name Triticum aestivum (bread wheat). Its description in RNAcentral is "long non-coding RNA (TAES_LNC003868)". Lineage: Eukaryota; Viridiplantae; Streptophyta; Magnoliopsida; Poales; Poaceae. The record is from RNAcentral.
UGCGGCAGGAUGAGCAAGCUGAAGCCUAGGAAACUUGUGCACAUACAGCUUCGAAGAGAGGUAGAGACCGAAGUGAGCAGCUGCUGCCGAAAAGGCCUUGAAACUCGGAACCGAGCUUGCAGACAAUGUGCAUCUGUUUCCCUUUGCCAUUUCUGGCGCAGGGUCCGGCUCGUCAAAGUUGGGAUGAAGCAUAGCAAGGUUUUAGAUAGAUCAAGGGGGAAAAUUUUCCGGUCCGGUCGUGUUAUUUCUUGGAUAGCGUUUGUUCAUUCUGGGUCGACUCUGUUUUUUCCGUCGUCGCAAUUUUCCUGGACAGAGCAGAGUGUGCAACUGUAAGAAAUGAUGAUGUCGUCACUGCUGUGAAAGAAAUUCCGUUGGUUGGUACUUAUGCAAAGUCUGCUUGGUUGCUUCCUCCUGAUGGUACCAAAAAUGUGUGUGUGUGUUGCUGACGUUGAAAUACAUACAGGAAAAUGAGGUAAUAGCACCCCAAGUGCCCUAACUUGCACAGAAUGUGACGAUUUAGUCCUAAAGUUGCAAAACUUGACUCCACCAUACCACAACUUGCACCUUAUGUGAUGAUUUAGUCCCAGGUCAAUCACAGCUCGCCAAUUGGCAGACAGGUGGCUGGACCGGUCAACGCACGCACUUUUGCACAAAACCCCGUGCCGUUUCCUUUUAUCAACCCGCAAUAUAGCACACCUGAAUUAAAUCUGUCGGAAUCGAGUUCACGGCCGGUUUGAGAGGAUUCACUUGGUUGUUGUGGGGGCGACAAAGCUCACAGGCUGGCUUGGCAAUGGUGACGUCAGCGACGGAGGCGUCGUCGCCGCCAUUCGCCGGCGGUGUGGAGACGCCGGCAUCUGCUCAUCUCGUCCGACCGUUCGGUGUAUACCAUCCUGAUUACUGUGAGCUCGUCGCCCCGCCUCUCCUUUCUUUUCGUCCCUCUCCUCGUCGCCCCGCCUCUGCUCUGCUCUGAGCUCGUCGCCCCGCCGUUUGCAGCUUGAAUCGCGUCCAUUUGUGCUGGAAUCGGGGUCGUGUAGUGGUGUUUUUUGCUUAGGAUCAUGUAUGGCGAAGUGCAGCUAGGGUUUCGGCCGAUGAGUUUAGGUUUGGGUUCGACAUGAUAGCUAGGGUUUAUGGCAGACAAAUUAGAUGUUUAUGCCUUUGUUGUUGGCUUUUCCUUCUGCUUUAGCUUGAACUCUACUCAAGCAUCAGCUUGUGUUGUGAAAUUUAACUCCUUUUUGCUGUUGAAGAUGUUUUGUACAGAUUAUAAACUUGGCUAUUUUGUUAUACACCAUUUAGUAUAGUUUUGGUAGUGCUAAUGGUAUGUGCAGCGAAGUUUCAGUGAAUUGAAUGGUUUUGUUAAUGGUUUGCUAAUGUUGUAUUUCAUUUAUGGUUAGUUUUAUUUAGUUCUCUUAAUAUGUUAAGUUAUCUGUAGUUAACUGAUUUUUUUCAGUUACUGUAUAACCGAAUCUUUUCAACUUACUGUAGUUAACUGAAAGGUUCAAGUAUGUUAACUGAACCUUAAGCUUUUGUUCAAGUAUGUUAAAUCUGAUGCAUCUUUGUUUUGAAUACAGUGUGUGAUGCAGCAACUGGAGAAAGGGUGGACAGUCCAUCUUUUACACUGGAGCUUGAGCAUGGUGGAAUUUUCUGUGGCCCAAUCAGUAACCUGGAGUACUGGAACCCUUCUGUUGAGGUGCUAGACUAUGUUGACUCUGGCACUUUCUCCUAUGCAUUCCUUGAACAACAGUUGAUUUGGUUGGGAUAUCCUGUGAGUGAGCACAUCAUUUACUUCAGCAAACCAAAUAAACCAAUAUCAGAUGAUUUGAUCAGAAUUAGCAGUGAUGAGGAUGUGCAGCAUAUGAUCAGAGCUAGUGCUGAGCAUAAGAUGCCUGUAGUCAUGGUUGACCAUACAGAUUUCAUCAGCAACUUCAGGUCUGACUUGGUGUGCACAUUGCCCCUACCUUUGAUAACAACAACAAGUUUUGCAGCAGCAAGUGCAUUCCCUUCCCAUAGCCUAGUUUCAGUGUUUGUAGAAGACCCUUUGUCAGAGAUUGCAGCAAAUGGAACAGACCCACAGAGUUUUCUUAUUGAGGGUACUGAGAACAACAUGCUAACUGAAGAUCCCUUCUCAGAGAUUGCACCAAUUGGAACAGACCCACACAAUUUGCUUAUUGAGGGUGCUGAGCACAACAUGCUAACUGAAGAUGGAGAAACAGUUAUUGAAUAUGUAGUUGUUUCAGAUUCUGAUUUUAGUGAUAGUGACUAUGACAUAGAUGAUGGUGAUGAUGAUCUUUAUGAUCACAACAUUGACUUUGAUGUUGAUGAAGAAGCUGAUCAGGAUGAGGAUGAUGUGGAGCCUGAACACUUGCUUGAGGAUGAAGAUCUCAACCUAUCAACUGAGCAAGCAGAUGAACUAAGGUACAAGUUUAAAGCCUUCAAUGCAAAGGUGUACAUGAUUUCCCCCGUUUUUAAAGUUGGGAUGGUAUUUGCUGAUGUGGUUGAGCUAAGACAUGCACUGACUGCAUAUUCAGUUAGAAACAGAGUGCAGAUCAAGAAGUUAAAGAAUGACAAGAGGAGACUUGAAGCAGUUUGUGAAAAUGGUUGCCCAUGGUAUUUGUAUGCUGGCAAUGACAACAGGACAGGGGGAUUUGUCAUCAAGACUUACUAUGGAGAACAUAUGUGUCAGAAGAAAUGGAAGAUAAGGUCACUGACAGCAAAAUUCCUGUGCAAGUACUUCAUAGAUGAGUUUAGAGAUGACCAGAAGAUGUCACUAGGUAUAUUUUCAAGAAAGAUCACCAAGGAAUUUCAUGUCACCCCUAACGGAUGGAAUCUAGCUAGGGCAAGUACUGCAUAACUUAAGGAGAUCCAUGGUGAUGAAGAAGAGCAGUUCAGUAGGCUUUGGGACUAUGGUCAUGAAUUGAGGAAUACCAACCCUGGGUCUACAUUUCUUCUGUCAACUGAGCUUGUUAAAGACAAAGAUUUCCCACUGGGCAGGGAAUGUUUGAAAACUCUAUAUUGGUCUUAUGAUGCAUGUAAAAGGGGGUGGCUCAAGGGAUGCAGACCUAUUAUUUUCAUUGAUGGUGAAGGAAAAAUGCCCUAGAGGCAAUAAUAAAGUUAUUAUUUAUUUCCUUAUAUCAUGAUAAAUGUUUAUUAUUCAUGCUAGAAUUGUAUUAACCGGAAACAUAAUACAUGUGUGAAUACAUAGACAAACAAAGUGUCACUAGUAUGCCUCUACUUGACUAGCUUGUUGAUCAAAGAUGGUUAUGUUUCCUAACCAUAGACAUGUGUUGUCAUUUGAUUAACAGGAUCACAUCAUUAGGAGAAUGAUGUGAUUUACAUGACCCAUUCCGUUAGCCUAGCACACAAUCGUUUAGUAUAUUGCUAUUGCUUUCUUCAUGACUUAUACAUGUUCCUAUGACUAUGAGAUUAUGCAACUCCCGUUUACCGGAGGAACACUUUGUGUGCUACCAAACGUCACAACGUAACUGGGUGAUUAUAAAGGAUCUCUACAGGUGUCUCCAAAGGUACAUGUUGGGUUGGCGUAUUUCGAGAUUAGGAUUUGUCACUCCGAUUGUCGGAAAGGUAUCUCUGGGCCCUCUCGGUAAUGCACAUCACUUAAGGCCUUGCAAGCAUUGCAACUAAUGAGUUAGUUGUGAGAUGAUGUAUUAUGGAACGAGUAAAGAGACUUGUCGGUAACGAGAUUGAACUAGGUAUUGAGAUACCGGCGAUCGAAUCUCGUGCAAGUAACAUACCGAUGACAAAGGGAACAACGUAUGUUGUUAUGCGGUCUGACCGAUAAAGAUCUUCAUAGAAUAUGUGGGAGCCAAUAUGAGCAUCCAGGUUCCGCUAUUGGUUAUUGACCGGAGACGUGUCUCAGUCAUGUCUACAUUGUUCUCGAACCCGUAGGGUCCGCACGCUUAACGUUACAAUGACAGUUACAUUAUGAGUUUAUAUAUUUUGAUGUAUCAAAGGUUUUUCGGAGUCCCGGAUAUGAUCACGGACUUGACGAGGAGUCUCGAAAUGGUCGAGACAUAAAGAUCGAUAUAUUGGACGACUAUAUUUGGACACCGGAAAGGUUCCGGGUGAGAUUGGGACAAUACCGGAUCAUCGGGAGGUUAUCGGAACCCCCUGGGAGUUAUAUGGGCCUUAUUGGGCCUUAGUGGAAAGGAGGGGAAAGGAGCAAGGGAGGGGGCGCGCCCCCCCAAGCCCAAUCUGAAUUGGGAGGCGGGUCGGCCCCCCUUUCCUUCCUCCCUCCUUCCUCUUCCUUCCCUCUCCUACUCCUAAUAGGAAAAGGGGGAGUCCUACUCCUGGUGGGAGUUGGACUCCCCCCUUGGGUGCGCCACCCCCCUUGGCCGCCCCCCUUCUCCACUCCUUUAUAUACGGAGGAGGGGGGCACCCCAUAGACACAACAAUUGAUCCCUUGGAUCUCUUAGCCGUGUGCGGUGCCCCCCUCCACCAUAGUCCACCUCGAUAAUACUGUAGCGGUGCUUAGGCGAAGCCCUGCGAUGGUAGAACAUCAAGAUCGUCACCACGCCGUCGUGCUGACAGAACUCUUCCCCGACACUUUGCUGGAUCGGAGUCCGGGGAUCGUCAUCGAGCUGAACGUGUGCUAGAACUCGAAGGUGCCGUAGUUUCGGUGCUUGAUCGGUCGGGCCGUGAAGACGUAUGACUACAUCAACCGCGUUGUUAUAACGCUUCCGCUACCGGUCUACGAGGGUACAUGGACAACACUCUCCCCUCUCGUUGCUAUGCAUCACCAUGAUCUUGCGUGUGCGUAGGAUUUUUUUUAAAAUUACUACGUUCCCCAACAGUGGCAUCAGAGCCAGGUUUUAUGCGUAGAUGUCAUAUGCACGAGUAGAACACAAGUGAGUUGUGGGCGAUAUAAGUCAUACUGCUUACCAGCAUGUCAUACUUUGGUUCGGUGGUAUUGUUGGAUGAAGCGGCCCGGACCGACAUUACGCGUACGCUUACACGAGACUGGUUCUACCGACAUGCUUUGCACACAGGUGGCUGGCGGGUGUCAGUUUCUCCAACUUUAGUUGAACCGAGUGUGGCUACGCCCGGUCCUUGCGAAGGUUAAAACAACACCAACUUGACAAACUAUCUUGUGGUUUUGAUGCGUAGGUAAGAACGAUUCUUGCUAAGCCCGUAGCAGCCACGUAAAACUUGCAACAACAAAGUAGAGGAUGUCUAACUUGUUUUUGCAGGGCAUGUUGUGAUGUGAGAUGGUCAAGACAUGAUGAUAAAUUUUAUUGUAUGAGAUGAUCAUGUUUUGUAACAGAGUUAUCGACAACUUGCAGGAGCCAUAUGGUUGUCGCUUUAUUGUAUGCAAUGCAAUCGCCCUGUAAUGCUUUACUUUAUCACUAAGCGGUAGCGAUAGUCGUAGAAGCAUAAGAUUGGCGAGACAAUAACGAUGCUACGAUGGAGAUCAAGGUGUCGCACCGGUGACAAUGGUGAUCAUGACGGUGCUUCGAAGAUGGAGAUCACAAUCACAAGAUGAUGAUGGCCAUAUCAUAUCACUUAUAUUGAUUGCAUGUGAUGUUUAUCUUUUAUGCAUCUUAUCUUGCUUUGAUUGACGGUAGCAUUAUAAGAUGAUCCCUCACUAAAUUAUCAUAGUAAAAGUGUUCUCCCUGAGUAUGCACCGUUGCGAAAGUUCUUUGUGCUGAGAAACCACGUGAUGAUCGGGUGUGAUAGGCUCUACGUUCAAAUACAAUGGGUGCAAAACAGUUGCACACGCGGAAUACUCAGGUUAAACUUGACGAGCCUAGCAUAUAACAGAUAUGGCCUCGGAACACGGAGACCGAAAGGUCGAGCGUGAAUCAUAUAGUAGAUAUGAUCAACAUAUUGAUGUUCACCGUUGAAACUACUCACGUGAUGAUCGGACAUGGUGUGGUUGAUAUGGAUCACGUAAUCACUUAGAGGAUUAGAGGGAUGUCUAUCUAAGUGGGAGUUCUUUAGUAAUAUGAUUAAUUGAACUUAAAUUUAUCAUGAACUUAGUACCUGAUAGUAUCUUGCUUGUCUAUGUUGAUUGUAGAUAGAUGGCCCGUGCUGUUGUUCCGUUGAAUUUUAAUGCGUUCCUUGAGAAAGCAAAGUUGAAAGAUGAUGGUAGCAAUUACACGGACUGGGUCCGUAACUUGAGGAUUAUCCUCAUUGCUGCAUAGAAGAAUUACGUCCUGGAAGCACCACUGGGUGCCAGGCCUGCUACUGGAGCAACGCCAGAUGUUAUGAACGUCUGGCAAAGCAAAGAUGAUGACUACUCUAUAGUUCAGUGUGCCAUGCUUUACGGCUUAGAACCGGGUCUUCAACGAUGUUUUGAACGUCAUGGAGCAUAUGAGAUGUUCCAAGAGUUGAAGUUAAUAUUUCAAGCAAAUGCCCGGAUUGAGAGAUAUGAAGUCUCCAAUAAGUUCUACAGCUGCAAGAUGGAGGAGAACAGUUCUUUCAGUGAGCAUAUACUCAAAAUGUCUGGGUAUAAUAAUCACUUGAUUCAACUGGGAGUUAAUCUUCCGGAUGAUAGCGUCAUUGAUAGAAUUCUCCAAUCACUGCCACCAAGCUACAAGAGCUUUGUGAUGAACUAUAAUAUGCAAGGGAUGGGAAAGACUAUUUUCGAGCUCUUCGCAAUGCUAAAAGCUGCGGAGGUAGAAAUCAAAAAGGAGCAUCAAGUGUUGAUGGUUAACAAUACCACUAGUUUCAAGAAAAAGGGCAAAGGGAAGAAGAAGGGAAACUUCAAGAAGAACAACAAACAAGUUGCUGCUCAGGAGAAGAAACCCAAGUCUGGACCUAAGCCUGAAACUGAGUGCUUCUACUGCAAGCAGACUGGUCACUGGAAGCGGAACUGCCCCAAGUACUUGGCGGAUAAGAAGGAUGGCAAGGUGAACAAAGGUAUAUGUGAUAUACAUGUUAUUGGUGUGUACCUUACUAAUGCUCGCAGUAGCACCUGGGUAUUUUAUACUGGUUCUGUUGCUAAUAUUUGCAACUCGAAACAGGGACUACGGAUUAAGCGAAGAUUAGCUAAGGACGAGGUGACGAUGCGCGUGGGAAAUGGUUCCAAAGUCGAUGUGAUCGCAGUCGGCACGCUACCUCUACAUCUACCUUCGGGAUUAGUUUUAGACCUAAAUAAUUGUUAUUUGGUGCCAACGUUAAGCAUGAACAUUAUAUCCGGAUCUUGUUUGAUGCGAGACGAUUAUUCAUUUAAAUCAGAGAAUAAUGGUUGUUCUAUUUAUAUGAGUAAUAUCUUUUAUGGUCAUGCACCCUUGAAGAGUGGUCUAUUUUUAUUGAAUCUCGAUAGUAGUGAUACACAUAUUCAUAAUGUUGAAGCCAAAAGAUGCAGAGUUGAUAAUGAUAGUGCAACUUAUUUGUGGCACUGCCGUUUAGGUUAUAUCGGUGUAAAGCGCAUGAAGAAACUCCAUACUGAUGGACUUUUGGAAUCACUUGAUUAUGAAUCACUUGGUACUUGCGAACCGUGCCUCAUGGGCAAGAUGACUAAAACACCGUUCUCCGGUACUAUGGAGAGAGCAACUGAUUUAUUGGGGAUCAUACAUACAGAUGUAUGUGGUCCGAUGAAUGUUGAGGCUCGUGGCGGAUAUCGUUAUUUUCUCACCUUCACAGAUGAUUUGAGCAGAUAUGGGUAUAUCUACUUAAUGAAGCAUAAGUCUGAAACAUUUGAAAAGUUCAAAGAAUUUCAGAGUGAAGUUGAAAAUCAUUGUAACAAGAAAAUAAAGUUUCUACAAUCUGAUCGUGGAGGAGAAUAUUUGAGUUACGAGUUUGGUCUACAUUUGAAACAAUGCGGAAUAGUUUCGCAACUAACGCCACCAGGAACACCACAGCGUAAUGGUGUGUCCGAACAUCGUAAUCGUACUUUACUAGAUAUGGUGCGAUCUAUGAUGUCUCUUACAGAUUUACCUCUAUCAUUUUGGGGUUAUGCUUUAGAGACGGCCACAUUCACGUUAAAUAGGGCACCAUCAAAAUCCGUUGAGACGACGCCUUAUGAACUGUGGUUUGGCAAGAAACCAAAGUUGUCGUUUCUGAAAGUUUGGGGCUACGAUGCUUAUGUGAAAAAGCUUCAACCUGAUAAGCUCGAACCCAAAUCGGAGAAAUGUAUCUUCAUAGGAUACCCAAAGGAGACUGUUGGGUACACCUUCUAUCACAGACCCGAAGGCAAGACGUUUGUCGCUAAAUUCGGAAACUUUCUAGAGAAGGAGUGUCUCUCGAAAGAAGUGAGUGGGAGGAAAGUAGAACUUGAUGAGGUAACAGUACCUGCUCCCUUAUUGGAAAGUAGUAUAUCACAGAAACAGGUUUCUGUGACACCUACACCAAUUAGUGAGGAAGAUAAUGAUGAUGAUCAUGUAACUUCAGAUCAAGUUGUUACUGAACCUCGUAGAUCAACCAGAGUAAGAUCCGCACCAGAGUGGUACGGUAAUCCUGUUCUGGAAGUCAUAUUACUAGACCAUGAUGAACCUACGAACUAUGAAGAAGCGAUGGUGAGCCCAGAUUCCGCAAAAUGGCUUGAGGCCAUGAAAUCUGAGAUGGGGUCCAUGUAUGAGAAAAAAGUGUGGACUUUGGUUGACUUGCCCGAUGAUCGACAAGCAAUUGAAAAUAAAUGGAUCUUCAAGAAGAAGACUGACGCUGACGGUAAUGUUACUGUCUACAAAGCUCGACUUGUCGCGAAAGGUUUUUGACAAGUUCAAGGGGUUUGACUACGAUGAGACCUUCUCACCCAUAGCGAUGCUUAAGUCUGUUCGAAUCAUGUUAGCAAUUGCCGCAUUUUAUGAUUAUGAAAUAUGGCAGAUGGAUGUCAAAACUGCAUUCCUGAAUGGAUUUCUGGAAGAAGAAUUGUAUAUGAUGCAACCGGAAGGUUUUGUCGAUCCAAAGGGAUCUAACAAAGUGUGCACGCUCCAGCGAUCCAUUUAUGGACUGGUGCAAGCCGCUCGGAGUUGGAAUAAACGCUUUGAUAGUGUGAUCAAAGCAUUUGGUUUUUUAUAUAGACUUUUGGAGAAGCCUAUAUUUACAAGAAAGUGAGUGGGAGCUCUGUAGCAUUUCUGAUACUAUAUGUAGAUGACAUAUUGCUGAUCGGAAAUGAUAUAGAAUUUCUGGAUAGCAUAAAAAGGAUACUUGAAUAAAAGUUUUUCAAUGAAAGACCUCGGUGAAGCUGCUUACAUAUUGGGCAUUAAGAUCUAUAGAGAUAGAUCAAGAUGCUUAAUUGGACUUUCACAAAGCACAUACCUUGACAAAGUUUUGAAGAAGUUCAAAAUGGAUCAAGCAAAGAAAGGGUUCUUGCCUGUGUUACAAGGUGUGAAGUUGAGUAAGACUCAAUGCCCGACCACUGCAGAAGAUAGAGAAAAGAUGAAAGAAGUUCCGUAUGCUUCAGCCAUAGGAUCUAUCAUGUAUGCAAUGUUGUGUACCAGACCUGAUGUGUUCCUUGCUAUAAGUUUAGCAGGGAGGUACCAAAGUAAUCUAGGAGUGGAUCAUUGGACAACGGUCAAGAACAUCCUGAAAUACCUGAAAAGGACUAAGGAUAUGUUUCUCGUUUAUGGAGGUGACAAAGAGCUCAUCGUAAAUGGUUACGUUGAUGCGAGCUUUGACACUGAUCCGGAUGAUUCUAAAUCGCAAACCGUAUACGUGUUUACAUUGAACGGUGGAGCUGUCAGUUGGUGCAGUUCUAAACAAAGCGUUGUGGCAGGAUCUACAUGUGAAACGGAGUACAUAGCUGCUUUAGAAACAGCAAACGAAGGAGUCUGGAUGAAGGAGUUCAUAUCCGAUCUAGGUGUCAUACCUAGUGCAUCGGGUCCAAUGAAAAUCUUUUGUGACAAUACUGGUGCAAUUGCUUUGGCGAAGGAAUCCAGAUUUCACAAAAGAACCAAGCACAUCAAGAGACGCUUCAAUUCCAUUCGGGAUUUAGUCCAAGUGGGAGACAUAGAAAUUUGCAAGAUACAUACGGAUCUGAAUGUAGUAGAACCGUUGACUAAGCCUCUUCCACGAGCAAAACAUGAUCAGCACCAAGGCUCCAUGGGUGUUAGAAUCAUUACAGUGUAAUCUAGAUCAUACUAGAAUUGUAUUAACCAGAAACAUAAUACAUGUGUGAAUACAUAGACAAACAGAGUGUCACUAGUAUGCCUCUACUUGACUAGCUUGUUGAUCAAAGAUGGUUAUGUUUCCUAACCAUAGACACGUGUUGUCAUUUGAUUAACGGGAUCACAUCAUUAGGAGAAUGACGUGAUUGACAUGACCCAUUCCGUUAGCUUAGCACACGAUCGUUUAGUAUAUUGCUAUUGCUUUCUUCAUGACUUAUACAUGUUCCUAUGACUAUGAGAUUAUGCAACUUCCGUUUACCGGAGGAACACUUUGUGUGCUACCAAACGUCACAACGUAACUGGGUGAUUAUAAAGGAGCUCUACAGGUGUCUCCAAAGGUACAUGUUGGGUUGGCGUAUUUCGAGAUUAGGAUUUGUCACUCCGAUUGUCGGAGAGGUAUCUCUGGGCCCUCUCGGUAAUGCACAUCACUUAAGCCUUGCAAGCAUUGCAACUAAUGAGUUAGUUGUGAGAUGAUGUAUUACGGAACGAGUAAAGAGACUUGCCGGUAACGAGAUUGAACUAGGUAUUGAGAUACCAACGAUCGAAUCUCGUGCAAGUAACAUACCGAUGACAAAGGGAACAACAUAUGUUGUUGUGCGGUCUGACCGAUAAAGAUCUUCGUAGAAUAUGUGGGAGCCAAUAUGAGCAUCCAGGUUCCGCUAUUGGUUAUUGGCCGGAGACGUGUCUCGGUCAUGUCUACAUUGUUCUCGAACCCGUAGGGUCCGCACGCUUAACGUUACGAUGACAGUUUCAUUAUGAGUUUAUAUAUUUUGAUGUAUCGAAGGUUGUUCGGAGUCCCGGAUAUGACCACGGACUUGACGAGGAGUCUCGAAAUGGUCGAGACAUAAAGAUCGAUAUAUUGGACGACUAUAUUUGGACACCAGAAAGGUUCCGGGUGAGAUUGGGACAAUACCGGAUCACCGGGAGGUUAUCGGAACCCCCCGGGAGGUAUAUGGGCCUUAUUGGGCCUUAGUGGAAAGGAGGGGAAAGGAGCAAGGGAAGGGGCGCGACCCCCCCAAGCCCAAUCCGAAUUGGGAGGGGGGCCGGCCCCCCCUUUCCUUCCUCUUCCUUCCCUCUCCUACUCCUAAUAGGAAAAGGGGGAGUCCUACUCCCGGUGGGAGUUGGACUCCCCCCUUGGGCGCGUCACCCCCCUUGGCCGGCCCCCUCCUCCACUCCUUUAUAUACGGAGGAGGGGGGCACCCCAUAGACACCACAAUUGAUCCCUUGGAUCUCUUAGCCGUGUGCGGUGCCCCCCUCCACCAUAGUCCACCUCGAUAAUACUGUAGCGGUGCUUAGGCGAAGCCCUGCGACGUUAGAACAUCAAGAUCAUCACCACGCCGUCGUGCCGACAUAAUUCUUCCCUGACACUUUGCUGGAUCGGAGUCCGGGGAUCGUCAUCGAGCUGAACGUGUGCUAGAACUCAGAGGUGCCAUAGUUUCGGUGCUUGAUCGGUCGGGCCAUGAAGACGUACGACUACAUCAACCGUGUUGUUAUAACGCUUCCGCUAUCGGUCUAUGAGGGUACGUGGACAACACUCUCCCCUCUUGUUGCUAUGCAUCACCAUGAUCUUGCGUGUGCGUAGGAUUUUUUUUUUGAAAUUACUACGUUCCCCAACAGAUGGUUGUCACAUGAAAAAUAGGUUUAAAGGAGUGUUACUUAGUGCAGUAGGUAUUGAUCCUAAUGACUGCAUUUUCCCCAUUGCAAUGUGUUGGGUAGAAGUAGAGUGCACAAGUUCUUGGGAGUGGUUUCUCACUACUUUGAGAGAUGACCUUAACAUCACAAAUACUGCUCCUUUCACUAUUAUGAGUGACAAGGAGAAAGGUUUGAUCAAUGUUGUGCAAAAAAUCUGGCCAGAUGCUGAGCAUAGGUUUUGUGUUAGGCAUAUUUAUCAGAAUUUCAAUAAGAAGCACAAAGGAGAGUUGCUGAAGCAAGAUCUGUGGGCCAUUGCAAGAGCACCAAACAGGGUGAAGUGGAGCCAAAACUGUGAGAAAAUGGAUGGACACAGUGCAACUGCCUUCCACUGGACUGAAAGACUUGAUCCAAAGACAUGGUGUAAAUCAUUUUUAGUGUCUUUUCCAAGUGUGAUAUUCUGCUGAACAAUAACUCUGAAGUAUUUAACAGCUACAUUCUGGAGGGCAGAGAAAUGCCAGUGUUGUCAAUGCUGGAAUACAUUUUUUACAAGAUCAUGCAAAGGCUAGUGAGUAAACAGAGAGAGGCCUGCUACAUCUUGAGCUUGCGUUGGUUUUCCUUGAAGAGGAAAGGGUGAUGCAGCAAUAGUAGCGUAAGUAUUUCCCUCAGUUUUUGAGAACCAAGGUAUCAAUCCAGUAGGAGGCUCCUCAAAAGUCCCACGCACCUACACAAACAAACAAGAACUCACAACCAACGCAAUAAAGGGGUUGUCAAUCCCUUCACAGCCACUUGCGAAAGUGAGAUAUGAUAGAGAUAGUAUGAUAAGAUAAAUAUAUUUUUGGUAUUUUAUAAUAUAGAUUGGAAAAGUAAAGAUGCAAAUAAAAGUAGAUUGGAAGCUUAUAUGAUAAAAGAUAGACCCCGGGGCCAUAGGUUUCACUAGUGGCUUCUCUCAAGAUAGCAUAAGUAUUACGGUGGGUGAACAAAUUACUAUCAAGCAAUUGAUAGAAAAGCAAAUAAUUAUGAGAUUAUCUAGGCAUGAUCAUGUAUAUAGGCAUCAUGUCCGUGACAAGUAGACCGACUCCUGCCUGCAUCUACUACUAUUACUCCACACAUCGACCGCUAUCCAGCAUGCAUCUAGAGUAUUAAGUUCGUAAAGAACAGAGUAAUGCAGUAAGAAAGAUGACAUGAUGUAGAGGGAUAAACUCAUGCAAUAUGAUAUAAACCCCAUCUUUUUAUCCUCGAUGGCAACAAUACAAUACGUGCCUUGCUGCCCCUGCUGUCACUGGGAAAGGACACCGGAAGAUUGAACCCAAAGCUAAGCACUUCUCCCAUUGCAAGAAAGAUCAAUCUAGUAGGCCAAACCAAACUGAUAAUUCGAAGAGACUUGCAAAGAUAACUUAAUCACACAUAAAAGAAUUCAGAGGAGAUUCAAAUAUUUCUCAUAUAUAAACUUGAUCAUAAACCCACAAUUCAUCGGAUCUCGACAAACACACCACAAAAAGAGUUACAUCGAAUAGAUCUCCAAGAAGAUCGAGGAGAACAUGGUAUUGAGAUCCAAAAAGAGAGAAGAAGCCAUCUAGCUAAUAACUAUGGACCCGAAGGUCUGUGGUAAACUACUCACAACUCAUCGGAGAGGCCUUGGAGAUGAUGUAGAGGCCCUCCAUGAUCGAUUCCCCCUCCGACGGAGAGCCGACGAAGGCUCCAAGAUGGGAUCUCGCGGAUACAGAAGGUUGUGGCGGUGGAAUUAGGUUUUUGUGGUCUGUUCUGAUGUUCUCGGGGUACGUGUGUAUAUAUAGGAGGAAGAAGUAGGUCGGUGGAUGCCCGAGGGGCCCAUGAGAUAGGGGGCGCGCCUAGUGGGGGGGGGGGCUUCCACCCUCGUGGCCGCCUCGGAUGUUGCUUGAAUUCCACUCCAAGUCCUCUGAAUCAUGUUCGUUCCAAAAAUCACGCUCCCAAAGGUUUCAUUCCAUUUGGACUCCGUUUGAUAUUCCUUUUCUUCAAAAUACAGAAAUAGGCAAAAAACAACAAUACGGGCUGGGCCUCCGGUUAGUAGGUUAGUCCCAAAAAUGAUAUAAAAGUGUAAAGUAAAGCCCAUAAACAUCCAAAACGGGUAAUAUAAUAGCAUGGACCAAUCAAAAAUUAUAGAUACGUUGGAGACGUAUCAAGGCCAUAGAGAAGUGGGCAGGGCAGAGAAUAUGCCCAAAGAUCAGGAAGAAACUAGACAAGAACACUGAGUUUGCUGCUAAUUGCCAUGUCUUAGAAGCUGGCCAACAAUUGUUCAAAGUUCAGUCUGGUAACUCAAGUUAUAUAGUUGACUUGUGCUUGCACACUUGUGACUGCAGGAGAUGGCAGCUGUCUGGAGUACCAUGUGGCCAUAGUAUAGCAUGCUGCAGGGAGGAGAGAAUUGACCAUGAGACAAUGGUGCAUGAAUGCUACACUGUGGAGAAUUAUCUGAAAGCAUAUGGAUACACUCUUGUUCCACUUAGAGAUCCAAAUCAUUGGGAGCCACAUAAUGGUUACAAAGUAUAUCCACCAGUUUUCACUAAACAGUUGGGAAGGCCAAAGAAAAAUAGGAAGAAAACACUAGAAGAGAAGAGAAGCAAGAAUGGUGUUAGAUAUUUGAACAAAAAAUGGUGUGACAAUGCACUGCUCAAUUUGUGGCAGAGCUGACCACAACAGGAAAGGGCACUACAGAUGGCAGGAAGCACUAAUUGCAGAAGGAGUAGAGCUUGUUGAUGAGAACUAUGAUGACCCAACAUUUCUUCAGGUAUGCUUCAGUUGCAUCUCAUUUUUUAUAGUUGGCUCUACUGAAUGAAAUGUGGUUAACUGCCUAAAAUGAGCUUAUCUGAAGGCAAAAAAAUUUCUUUGCAGAACAUCUUCCCAAACAGGCUAGAUCCUAGGUUGGAUCCUGCUGAGUCACCAACCAGUAUGGUUUUUAACAUGGCCACCAGGGAGAGAGCAAGAAGAGCUCCUCAAAGGGUCCAUGGCCCACUGCCUGAGCUCUCUUCAUUUGUUGCUGCUGCAGGGGCUGAAAUACCACAACCCAGGGUGACUACAAAAAUGAAUAUUGCUAGGCAGACAAGGGCAAGGACUGAAGCUGACAUUGCAAGAGGAAAGAAAAGGAGAGGUAGAGGUGAGGUACAUCCAAAUGCAAGAAGAGGCAGAGGAGCAAGUGCAAUCUCAGCUCCAUGAAGAGGGAGAGGAGCAAGUGCAGUCUCAGCUCCAGGAAGAGGUGCCAGUGCAGAUGCAGCUCCAGGAAGAGGGAGAGGAGUAACUGCAGUCUCAGCUCCAGGAAGAGGUGCCAGUGCGGAUGCAGCUCCAGGAAGAGGGAAAGGAGCAAAUGCAGAAGCUGGGAGAGGGAGAGGAGGCAGGAAUGUGCAUGCAUGGAGAGGGAGAGGAGGAAGACAUGCAGGUGCAGGAAUAGGGAGAGGAAGAAUUCCAGGUGAGAGGGCAUGGUGGCUGCUAUUUGGAGAAGACAUGGGCAGUCAAAUUCCAGACCUCAAUGCUCCUCCUGAAGAUUUUCCUGCUGCCUGAUCUACUAGCAAUUCUCAGUGCCAUUUUUUGAAAAGGCCAAUACUUAUGUAACUCAUAAACUGGCCUUUGUUUUGUUAUUCAAACUGUGGCAUACCUUGCUUCUUUUUUGAAGGCAAAAAGUGGCAUACAGUGCCCACUUUUUUGAUGGCAAACCAUGGCAGACAUUGCCCUUUUUCAAAUUUCAGUGCACAAUGAGCUAGUUUACUUACUUGCACAAUGAUUUAGUUUAAAAAAAAUUGAAAACAAAAAAUGCAGGCCUGGGGCUCGAACCCAGGACCUGGGGUUUAUAACGCUGCGUGCAAUGCCAGUGGGACAGAGGUAUUGAUUUGUUCUAAUAGCACCUUAUGUACAUAAUGUUAUUUUAUUUGUCCUGCAUUUUAGCAUGCGUUGCGGCCUCUACCAGACGACCGUGCGUAGCGUAGCCUUGUCGUUUCAGUUUCCUCUCCUUUAAGAUGUGUCAACCUGCCGUUCUCCCUCUCCACUCACUGUUCGCACAGUCCACUCCUCCCCCACUCCCUCUGCCAACCACCCAAUAGACCUGUCUCGACGACCAUGCCACCACCGCCGCCGCCAUGGACCAGAGUCUAGGAUGGCAGAAAGCCGUCGAAGAGCUGGCCGGGGACAACCAGGAGAUUCACGCGCAAUACAAGGAGAUCGCGCGGUGGUUCCCAAGUGUUCGGAUGAUGCGGAUCCACGCGCGCGGUCUUGUCAAGGUGAUGACGGAUGAUGAGAAGCGCCAUGCCUUCCCUGACGGCUUCAACGUUCCUCCGGCGACCAUCCUCCUGUGGGCAAUGCGCGAGGUUCAGCGCUCCCCCGACCCCAACCAGCACGCCCGCUGGUGGAUGUACCGCUCAUCCACCACAGCAUCGGCCCAGGAGGAUGCAGAGUGCGUUGGGUCCAGGACCGAGCACGUCGUCGACAUCGUGCUUGCCCUGCCGGCGCCCGUCAACGCCACCUACUGGGACCGCCAAGGUCCAUCUGUCUUCCUGGGGCUAGACGGCGACUCCGAGGAUGAGUCAUCUGACGAGGAGGUGCCGGAGGUCAUCGUGCUGUCAGACUAUGAGCCAGUGGUGCAGAUCGUUGCGCCGGUCGGAGCCGCCAUGGAGGGUGGCUGCAACCUUCCCAUUGAGGUGGACGACCUGCCAGAUCUUCCUGAAUCCGGCAUCAUCAAGCAGGAGGUUGAGGAGGAGGGUGUGGCGGCGCCUGCAGUUCAGGAAGUGAAGAAGAAGAAGAGAGCACCAGUGAAGAUGACAGUUGUGGAGGUGCGCCGCUCCGAGUGCCUGAAGCUGCUCAAGAAGUGAAGAUGGUGAUGCAGAACUGUUAAGGUGUGUCUGCAGAUGGUGCUGCUUAGGUAUGUUGUUAUAUCACAACAUAUAAGUUAGAAAUAUGAAGUUCUUAGCUAGGUAUGCUGAUAUAUCACAACAUAUAAGUUAGUAAAGAUCGUCCUGUUAGCUAGGUAUGUUGUUAUAUAAUCACAACAUAUAAGUUACAACUCUUUUGGACAUGCUAUGGUUAGGUGUGCUACUAUAUAAAGGACAUAAGUUAUCUGUAAUUAUGUGGUUUGGAAAGUGGACUAUGAAUCUGCAUGAUGUUGGUAUGCAACUGGAGUGGUUUGCCUAAUGUGGUGUGCUGUGAUUAUAUGCAUUGUACUGCUUGGUUUGUUUCUAUCUGCAUGUGGAUAGUUUGACAGACCAAAUGUAGCACUUACUAUAAAUAGCAAAAAAUCAGUUAUCAAACAAUUUUCAGUGAAAAUUCAGUUAAGAUCAAUUCUGUUAGAAUUCAGUGCAAGUUCAGCUUAGUGAAGUUAAAUUUCAGUGAAAGUUUAGUACAAUUCAGUUAAGUUUAGUUAAAAUUCAGUUAAAAUUAUCAGUCAAAUUCAGUAUAAUUGAGUACAAUUUAGUUAAGUUUAGUUUAAAAUUAUCAGUCAAAUUCAGUACAAUUCAGUUAAGCUUAGAUAAAAUUCAGUGAACUAAGUAAGCAUUGUGGGACUAAUAAUGGGCUAGUUUUUUUUUUUACUUUUGUCACUAAUUUUUGACUCUAAUAUUGGGCCUACCUACCACCAUUAAUGUUGGGUUUCGUAGUAAUUUCAAAAAUUUUCCUACGCACACACAGGAUCAUGUGAUGCAUAGCAACGAGGGGAGAGUAUUGUCUACGUACCCAACGCAGACCGACUGCGGAAGCGAUGACACGACGUAGAGGAAGUAGUCGUACGUCUUCACGAUCCAACCGAUCAAGUACCGAAACUACGACACCUCCGAGUUCGAGCACACGUUCAGCUCGAUGACGAUCCCCAGACUCCGAUCCAGCAAAGUGUCGGGGAAGAGUUUCGUCAGCACGACGGCGUGGUGACGAUCUUGAUGAACUACAGCAGCAGGGCUUCGCCUAAACUCCGCUACAGUAUUAUCGAGGAAUAUGGUGGCAGGGGGCACCGCACACGGCUAAGGAAUAGAUCACAUGGAUCAACUUGUGUCAACUUGUGUGUUUAGAGGUGCCCCUGCCUCCGUAUAUAAAGGAGGAGAGGAGGGGAGGCUGGCCGGCCAAGGGGGGGAGGCGCAGGAGAGUCCUACUCCCUCUGGGAGUAGGAUUCCCCCUCCAAUCCUAGUCCAACUAGGAUUCCUCGGAGGGGAAAAGAGGAGGAGGGGGCCGGCCACCUCUCCUAGUUGUUUCAUAACAACAUACGUUGUUCCCUUUGUCAUCGGUAUGUUACUUGCCCGAGAUUCGAUCGUCGGUAUCCAAUACCUAGUUCAAUCUCGUUACUGGCAAGUCUCUUUACUCGUUCCGUAAUACAUCAUCUCACAACUAACAUAUUAGUUGUAAUGCUUGCAAGGCUUAUGUGAUGUGUAUUACCGAGAGGGCCNNNNNNNNNNNNNNNNNNNNNNNNNNNNNNNNNNNNNNNNNNNNNNNNNNNNNNNNNNNNNNNNNNNNNNNNNNNNNNNNNNNNNNNNNNNNNNNNNNNNNNNNNNNNNNNNNNNNNNNNNNNNNNNNNNNNNNNNNNNNNNNNNNNNNNNNNNNNNNNNNNNNNNNNNNNNNNNNNNNNNNNNNNNNNNNNNNNNNNNNNNNNNNNNNNNNNNNNNNNNNNNNNNNNNNNNNNNNNNNNNNNNNNNNNNNNNNNNNNNNNNNNNNNNNNNNNNNNNNNNNNNNNNNNNNNNNNNNNNNNNNNNNNNNNNNNNNNNNNNNNNNNNNNNNNNNNNNNNNNNNNNNNNNNNNNNNNNNNNNNNNNNNNNNNNNNNNNNNNNNNNNNNNNNNNNNNNNNNNNNNNNNNNNNNNNNNNNNNNNNNNNNNNNNNNNNNNNNNNNNNNNNNNNNNNNNNNNNNNNNNNNNNNNNNNNNNNNNNNNNNNNNNNNNNNNNNNNNNNNNNNNNNNNNNNNNNNNNNNNNNNCCUCUGGGAGUAGGAUUCCCCCUCCAAUCCUAGUCCAACUAGGAUUCCUCGGAGGGGAAAAGAGGAGGAGGGGGCCGGCCACCUCUCCUAGUUGUUUCAUAACAACUAGUAUGUUGUUAUGCGGUCUGACCGAUCUUUAUCGGUCAGACCGCAUAACAACAUACGUUGUUCCCUUUGUCAUCGGUAUGUUACUUGCCCGAGAUUCGAUCGUCGGUAUCCAAUACCUAGUUCAAUCUCGUUACUGGCAAGUCUCUUUACUCGUUCCGUAAUACAUCAUCUCACAACUAACAUAUUAGUUGUAAUGCUUGCAAGGCUUAUGUGAUGUGUAUUACCGAGAGGGCCGAGAGAUACCUCUCUGACAAUCGGAGUGACAAAUCCUAAUCUCGAAAUACGCCAACCCAACAUCGACCAUUGGAGACACCUGUAGUACUCCUUUAUAAUCACCCAGUUACGUUGUGACGUUUGGUAGUACCCAAAGUGUUCCUCCGAUAAACGGGAGUUGCAUAAUCUCAUAGUCAUAGGAACAUGUAUAAGUCAUGAAGAAAGCAAUAGCAACAUACUAAACGAUCGGGUGCUAAGCUAAUGGAAUGGGUCAUGUCAAUCAGAUCAUUCUGCUAAUGAUGUGACCUCGUUAAUCAAAUAACAACUCAUUGUUCAUGGUUAGGAAACAUAACCAUCUUUGAUUAACGAGCUAGUCAAGUAGAGGCAUACUAGUGACACUUUGUUUGUCUAUGUAUUCACACAUGUAUUAUGUUUCCGGUAAAUACAAUUCUAGCAUGAAUAAUAAACAUUUAUCAUGAUUAUAAGGAAAUAAAUAAUAACUUUAUUAUUGCCUCUAGGGCAUAUUUCCUUCAGUCUCCCACUUGCACUAGAGUCAAUAAUCUAGUUCACAUCGUCAUGUGAUUUAACACCAAUAUUCAUAUCUGUAUAUGAUUAACACCCAUAGUUCACAUCAUCAUGUGACCAACACCCAAAGGGUUUACUAGAGUCAAUAAUCUAGUUCACAUUGCUAUGUGAUUAACAUCCAAAGAGUACUAAGGUGUGAUCAUGUUUUGCUCGUGAGAGAAGCUUAGUCAACGGGUCUAUCACAUUCAGAGCCGUAUGUAUUUUGCAAAUAUUCUAUGUCUACAAUGCUCUGUACGGAGCUACUCUAGCUAAUCGCUCCCACUUUCAAUAUGUAUCCAGAUUGAGUCUUAGAGUCAUCUGGAUUAGUGUAAAAGUUUGCACUGAUGUAACUUUUACAACAAACUCUUUUAUCACCUCCAUAAUCGAGAAACAUCUCCUUAGUCCUUACUAAGGAUAUUCUUGACCAAUGUCCAGUGAUCUACUCCUAGAUCACUAUUGUACUCCCUUGCCAAAUACAGAGCAAGGUAUACAAUAGGUCUGGUACAAAGCAUAGCAUACUUUAUAGAACCUAUGACUGAGGCAUAGGGAAUGACUUUUCAUUCUCUUUCUAUUUUCUGCUGUGGUCGGGAUUUGAGUCUUACUCAAUUUCAUACCUUUGCAACACAGGCAAGAACUCUUUCUUUAACUGUUCCAUUUUGAACUAUUUCAAAAUCUUGCCAAGGUAUGUAUUCAUUGAAAAUCUUAUCAAGCGUCUUGAUCUAUCUCAAUAGAUCUUGAUGCUCAAUAUAUAAGUAGCUUUUUACUGAGGUCUUUUCUUUUUAAAGAACUCCUUUAAAACACUCCUUUAUGCUUUGCAGAAAAAUUCUACAUCAUUUCUGAUCAACAAUAUGUCACUCACAUAUACUAAUCAGAAAGGCUGUAGUGCUCCCACUCACUUUAUUGUAAAUACAGGCUUCAUCGUAAGUCCAUAUAAAACUAUAUGCUUUGAUCAACUUAUCAAAGUAUAUAUUCCAACUCCGAGAUGCUUGCACCAGUCCAUAGAUGGAUCGCUGGAGCUUGCACAUUUUGUUAGCACCUUUAGGAUUGACAAAACCUUCUGGUUGCAUCAUAUACAACUCUUCUUUAAUAAAUCCAUUAAGGAAUGCAGUUUUGACAUCCAUUUGCCAGAUUUCAUAAAAUGUGGCAAUUGCUAACAUGAUUCAGAUAGACUUAAGCAUCGAUACGAGUGAGAAAACCUCAUCGUAUUCAACACCUUGAACUUGUUGAAAAACUUUUGCAACAAGUCGAGCUUGGUAGAUAGUAACACUACUAUCAGUGUCCGUCUUCCUCUUGAAGAUCCAUUUAUUUAACAUGGCUUUGCUGAUCAUCGAGCAAGUCAAUCAAAGUCCAUACUUUGUUGUCAUACAUGGAUCAUAUCUCAGAUUUUAUGGCUUCAAGCCACUUUGCGGAAUCUGGGCUCACCAUCGCUUCUUCAUAGUUCGUAGGUUCAUCAUGAUCUAGUAGCAUGACUUCCAGAACAGGAUUACCGUACCACUCUGGUGUGGAUCUUACUCUGGUUGAUCUACGAGGUUCAGUAGUAUCUUGAUCUGAAGUUUCAUGAUCAUUAUCAUUGGCUUCCUCACUAACUGGUGUAGGUGUCACUGAAACAGUUUUCUGUGAUGAACUACUUUCCAGUAAGGGAGCAGGUACAGUUACCUCGUCAAGUUCCACUUUCCUCCCACUCACUUCUUUCGAGAGAAACUCCUUCUCUAGAAAUGAUCCAUUCUUAGCAACGAAUGUCUUGCCUUCGGAUCUGUGAUAGAAGGUGUACCCAACAGUUUCCUUUGGGUAUCCUAUGAAGACACAUUUCUCCGAUUUGGGUUCGAGCUUAUCAGGUUGAAGCUUUUUCACAUAAGCAUCGCAGCCCCAAACUUUAAGAAACGACAACUUUGGUUUCUUGCCAAACCACAGUUCAUAAGGCGUCGUCUCAACGGAUUUUGAUGGUGCCCUAUUUAACGUGAAUGCGGCCGUCUCUAAAGCAUAUCCCCAAAAAGAUAGCGGUAAAUCAGUAAGAGACAUCAUAGAUCGCACCAUAUCUAGUAAAGUAUGAUUACGACGUUCGGACACACCAUUACGCUGUGGUGUUCCGGGUGGCGUGAGUUGCGAAACUAUUCCACAGUUUUUCAAAUGUACACCAAACUCGUAACUCAAAUAUUCUCCUCCACGAUCAGAUCGUAGAAACUUUAUUUUCUUGUUACGAUGAUUUUCAACUUCACUCUGAAAUUCUUUGAACUUUUCAAAUGUUUCAGACUUAUGUUUCAUUAAGUAGAUAUACCCAUAUCUGCUUAAAUCAUCUGUGAAGGUGAGAAAAUAACGAUAUCCGCCACGAGCCUCAAUAUUCAUCGGGCCACAUACAUCGGUAUGUAUGAUUUCCAACAAAUCUGUUGCUCUCUCCAUAGUACUGGAGAACGGUGUUUUAGUCAUCUUGCCCAUGAGGCACGGUUCGCAAGUACCAAGUGAUUCAUAAUCAAGUGGUUCCAAAAGUCCAUCAGCAUGGAGUUUCUUCAUGCGCUUUAUACCGAUAUGACCUAAACGACAGUGCCACAAAUAAGUUGCACUUUCAUUAUCAACUCUGCAUCUUCUGGCUUCAAUAUUAUGAAUAUGUGUAUUACUACUAUCGAGAUUCAAUAAGAAUAGACCACUCUUCAAGGGUGCAUGACCAUAAAAGAUAUUACUCAUAUAAAUAGAACAACCAUUAUUCUCUGAUUUAAAUGAAUAACCGUCUCGCAUUAAACAAGAUCCAGAUAUAAUGUUCAUGCUCAACGCUGGCACCAAAUAACAAUUAUUUAGGUAUAAUAUUAAUCCCGAAGGUAGAUGUAGAGGUAGUGUGCCGACUGCGAUCACAUCGACUUUGGAACCGUUUCCCACGCGCAUCGUCACCUCGUCCUUUGCCAGUGCCCGCUUAUUCCGUAGUCCCUGUUUCGAGUUGCAAAUAUUAGCAACAGAACCAGUAUCAAAUACCCAGGUGCUACUACGAGCUCUAGUAAGGUACACAUCAAUAACAUGUAUAUCACAUAUACCUUUAUUCACCUUGCCAUCCUUCUUAUCCGCCAAAUACUUGGGGCAGUUUCGCUUCCAGUGACCAGUCUGCUUGCAGUAGAAGCACUCAGUUUCAGGCUUAGGUCCAGACUUGGGUUUCUUCUCUUGAGCAGCAACUUGCUUGCCGUUCUUCUUGAAGUUCCCCUUUUUCUUCCCUUUGCCCUUUUUCUUGAAACUAGUGGUCUUGUUAACCAUCAACACUUGAUGCUCCUUCUUGAUUUCUACCUCCGCAGCUUUCAGCAUUGCGAAGAGCUCGAGAAUAGUCUUGUUCAUCCCUUGCAUAUUAUAGUUCAUCACGAAGCUCUUGUAGCUUGGUGGCAGUGAUUGAAGAAUUCUGUCAAUGACGCAAUCAUCCGGAAGAUUAACUCCCAAUUGAAUCAAGUGAUUAUUAUACCCAGACAUUUUGAGUAUAUGCUCACUGACAGAACUGUUCUCCUCCAUCUUGCAGCUAUAGAACUUAUUGGAGACUUCAUAUCUCUCAAUUCGGGCAUUUGCUUGAAAUAUUAACUUCAACUCCUGGAACAUCUCAUAUGCUCCAUGACGUUCAAAACGUCGUUGAAGUCCCGAUUCUAAGCCGUAAAGCAUGGCACACUGAACUAUCGAGUAGUCAUCAGCUUUGCUCUGCCAGACGUUCAUAACAUCUGGUGUUGCUCCAGCAGCAGGCCUGGCACCCAGCGGUGCUUCCAGGACGUAAUUUUUCUGUGCAGCAAUGAGGAUAAUCCUCAAGUUACGGACCCAGUCCGUGUAAUUGCUACCAUCAUCUUUCAAUUUUGCUUUCUCAAGGAACGCAUUAAAAUUCAACAGAACAACAGCACGAGCCAUCUAUCUACAAUCAACAUAAACAAGCAAGAUACUAUCAGGUACUAAGUUCAUGAUAAAUUUAAGUUCAAUUAAUCAUAUUAUUUAAGAACUCCCACUUAGAUAGACAUCCCUCUAAUCCUCUAAGUGAUUACGUGAUCCAAAUCAACUAAACCAGGACCGAUCAUCACGUGAGAUGGAGUAGUUUUCAAUGGUGAACAUCGUUAUGUUGAUCAUAUCUACUAUAUGAUUCACGCUCGACCUUUCGGUCUCCGUGUUCCGAGGCCAUAUCUGCAUAUGCUAGGCUCGUCAAGUUUAACCUGAGUAUUCUGCGUGUGCAAAACUGGCUUGCACCCGUUGUAGAUGGACGUAGAGCUUAUCACACCCGAUCAUCACGUGGUGUCUGGGCACAACGAACUUUGGCAACGGUGCAUACUCAGGGAGAACACUUCUUGAUAAUUUAGUGAGAGAUCAUCUUAUAAUGCUACCGUCAAUCAAAGCAAGAUAAGAUGCAUAAAAAGAUAAACAUCACAUGCAAUCAAUAUAAGUGAUAUGAUAUGGUCAUCAUCAUCUUGUGCUUGUGAUCUCCAUCUCCGAAGCACCGUCAUGAUCACCAUCGUCACCGGCGCGACACCUUGAUCUCCAUCGUAGCAUCGUUGUCGUCUCGCCAAUCUUAUGCUUCCACGACUAUCACUACCGUUUAGUAAUAAAGUAAAGCAUUACAUCGCGAUUGCAUUGCAUACAAUAAAGCAACAACCAUAUGGCUCCUGCCAGUUGCCGAUAACUCGGUUACAAAACAUGAUCAUCUCAUACAAUAAAAUUCAGCAUCAUGCUUUGACCAUAUCACAUCACAACAUGCCCUGCAAAAACAAGUUAGACGUCCUCUACUUUGUUGUUGCUUGUUUUACGUGGCUGCUACGGGCUUAAGUAAGAACCAAUCUCACCUACGCAUCAAAACCACAAUGAUAGUUUGUCAAAUAGACUCCGUUUUAACCUUCGCAAGGACCGGGCGUAGCCAUACUUGGUUCAACUAAAGUUGGAGAGACAGUCGCCCGCAAGCCAUCUCUGUGCAAAGCACGUCGAGGGAACCGGUCUCGCGUAAGCGUACGCGUAAGGUUGGUCCGGGUCGUCUCGUCCAACAAUACCGCCGAACCAAAGUAUGACAUGCUGGUAGGCAGUAUGACUUGUAUCGUCCACAACUCACUUGUGUUCUACUCGUGCAUAUAACAUCAACAUAAAUAACCUAGGCUCAGAUACCACUGUUGGGUUUCGUAGUAAUUUCAAAAAUUUUCCUACGCACACACAGGAUCAUGUGAUGCAUAGCAACGAGGGGAGAGUAUUGUCUACGUACCCAACGCAGACCGACUGCGGAAGCGAUGACACGACGUAGAGGAAGUAGUCGUACGUCUUCACGAUCCAACCGAUCAAGUACCGAAACUACGGCACCUCCGAGUUCGAGCACACGUUCAGCUCGAUGACGAUCCCCGGACUCUGAUCCAGCAAAGUGUCGGGGAAGAGUUUCGUCAGCACGACGGCGUGGUGACGAUCUUGAUGAACUACAGCAGCAGGUCUUCGCCUAAACUCCGCUACAGUAUUAUCGAGGAAUAUGGUGGCAGGGGGCACCGCACACGGCUAAGGAAUAGAUCACGUGGAUCAACUUGUGUCAACUUGUGUGUUUAGAGGUGCCCCUGCCUCCGUAUAUAAAGGAGGAGAGGAGGGGAGGCUGGCCGGCCAAGGGGGGGAGGCGCAGGAGAGUCCUACUCCCUCUGGGAGUAGGAUUCCCCCUCCAAUCCUAGUCCAACUAGGAUUCCUCGGAGGGGAAAAGAGGAGGAGGGGGCCGGCCACCUCUCCUAGUCCUAAUAGGACUAGGGGAAGNNNNNNNNNNNNNNNNNNNNNNNNNNNNNNNNNNNNNNNNNNNNNNNNNNNNNNNNNNNNNNNNNNNNNNNNNNNNNNNNNNNNNNNNNNNNNNNNNNNNNNNNNNNNNNNNNNNNNNNNNNNNNNNNNNNNNNNNNNNNNNNNNNNNNNNNNNNNNNNNNNNNNNNNNNNNNNNNNNNNNNNNNNNNNNNNNNNNNNGGGGGGGGGGGCGCAGCCCAACUAGGGCAGCCCCUUCUCUUUUCCACUAAGGCCCACUAUGGCCCAAAUAGCUCCCGGGGGGUUCCGGUAACCCUCCCGGUAUUCCGGUAAAAUCCCGAUUUCACCCGGAACACUUCCGAUAUCCAAAUAUAGGCUUCCAAUAUAUCAAUCUUUAUGUCUCGACCAUUUCGAGACUCCUCGUCAUGUCCGUGAUCACAUCCGGGACUCUGAACAACCUUCGGUACAUCAAAAUACAUAAACUCAUAAUAUAACUGUCAUCGUAACCUUAAGCGUGCGGACCCUACGGGUUCGAGAACAAUGUAGACAUGACCGAGACACGUCUCUGGUCAAUAACCAAUAGCGGGACCUGGAUGCCCAUAUUGGCUCCUACAUAUUCUACGAAGAUCUUUAUCGGUCAGACCGCAUAACAACAUACGUUGUUCCCUUUGUCAUCGGUAUGUUACUUGCCCGAGAUUCGAUCGUCGGUAUCCAAUACCUAGUUCAAUCUCGUUACUGGCAAGUCUCUUUACUCGUUCCGCAAUACAUCAUCUCACAACUAACAUAUUAGUUGUAAUGCUUGCAAGGCUUAUGUGAUGUGUAUUACCGAGAGGGCCCAGAGAUACCUCUCCGACAAUCGGAGUGACAAAUCCUAAUCUCGAAAUACGCCAACCCAACAUCGACCAUUGGAGACACCUGUAGUACUCCUUUAUAAUCACCCAGUUACGUUGUGACGUUUGGUAGUACCCAAAGUGUUCCUCCGGUAAACGGGAGUUGCAUAAUCUCAUAGUCAUAGGAACAUGUAUAAGUCAUGAAGAAAGCAAUAGCAACAUACUAAACGAUCGGGUGCUAAGCUAAUGGAAUGGGUCAUGUCAAUCAGAUCAUUCUACUAAUGAUGUGACCUCGUUAAUCAAAUAACAACUCAUUGUUCAUGGUUAGGAAACUUAACCGUCUUUGAUUAACGAGCUAGUCAAGUAGAGGCAUACUAGUGACACUCUGUUUGUCUAUGUAUUCACACAUGUAUUAUGUUUCCGGUAAAUACAAUUCUAGCAUGAAUAAUAAACAUUUAUCAUGAUUAUAAGGAAAUAAAUAAUAACUUUAUUAUUGCCUCUAGGGCAUAUUUCCUUCAGUCUCCCACUUGCACUAGAGUCAAUAAUCUAGAUUACACUGUAAUGAAUCUUACACCCAUGGAGCUUUGGUGCUGAUCAUGUUUUGCUCGUGGAAGAGGCUUAGUCAACGGAUCUGCAACAUUCAGAUCCGUAUGUAUCUUGCAAAUCUCUAUGUCUCCCACCUGGACUAGAUCCCGGAUGGAGUUGAAGCGUCUCUUGAUGUGUUUGGUCCUUUUGUGAAAUCUGGAUUCCUUUGCCAAGGCAAUUGCACCAGUAUUGUCACAAAAGAUUUUCAUUGGACCCGAUGCACUAGGUAUGACACCUAGAUCGGAUAUGAACUCCUUCAUCCAGACUCCUUCAUUUGCUGCUUCCGAAGCAGCUAUGUAUUCCGCUUCACAUGUAGAUCCCGCUACAACGCUUUGUUUAGAACUGCACCAACUGACAGCUCCACCGUUUAAUGUAAACACGUAUCCGGUUUGCGAUUUAGAAUCGUCCGGAUCAGUGUCAAAGCUUGCAUCAACGUAACCUUUUACGGUGAGCUCUUUGUCACCUCCAUAUACGAGAAACAUAUCCUUAGUCCUUUUCAGGUAUUUUAGGAUGUUCUUGUUAGGUUUCGUAGUAAUUUCAAAAAUUUUCCUACGCGCACACAGGAUCAUGUGAUGCAUAGCAACGAGAGGAGAGUGUUGUCUACGUACCCAACGCAGACCGACUGCGGAAGCGAUGACACGACGUAGAGGAAGUAGUCGUACGUCUUCACGAUCCAACCGAUCAAGCACCGAAACUACGGCACCUCCGAGUUCGAGCACACGUUCAGCUCGAUGACGAUCCCCGGACUCCGAUCCAGCAAAGUGUCGGGGAAGAGUUUCGUCAGCACGACGGCGUGGUGACGAUCUUGAUGAACUACAGCAGCAGGGCUUCGCCUAAACUCCGCUACAGUAUUAUCGAGGAAUAUGGUGGCAGGGGGCACCGCACACGGCUAAGGAAUCGAUCACGUGGAUCAACUUGUGUCAACUUGUGUGUUUAGAGGUGCCCCUGCCUCCGUAUAUAAAGGAGGAGAGGAGGGGAGGCUGGCUGGCCAAGGGGGGGAGGCGCAGGAGAGUCCUACUCCCUCUGGGAGUAGGAUUCCCCCUCCAAUCCUAGUCCAACUAGGAUUCCUCGGAGGGGAAAAGAGGAGGAGGGGGCCGGCCACCUCUCCUAGUCCUAAUAGUACUAGGGGAAGGGGGGCGCGCAGCCCAACUAGGGCAGCCCCUUCUCUUUUCCACUAAGGCCCACUAUGGCCCAAAUAGCUCCCGGGGGGUUCCAGUAACCCUCCCGGUAUUCCGGUAAAAUCCCGAUUUCACCCGGAACACUUCCGAUAUCCAAAUAUAGGCUUCCAAUAUAUCAAUCUUUACGUCUCGACCAUUUCGAGACUCCUCGUCAUGUCCGUGAUCACAUCCGGGACUCCGAACAACAUUCGGUACAUCAAAAUGCAUAAACUCAUAAUAUAACUGUCAUCGUAACCUUAAGCGUGCGGACCCUACGGGUUCGAGAACAAUGUAGACAUGACCGAGACACGUCUCCGGUCAAUAACCAAUAGCGGGACCUGGAUGCCCAUAUUGGCUCCUACAUAUUCUACGAAGAUCUUUAUCGGUCAGACCGCAUAACAACAUACGUUGUUCCCUUUGUCAUCGGUAUGUUACUUGCCCGAGAUUCGAUCGUCGGUAUCCAAUACCUAGUUCAAUCUCGUUACCGGCAAGUCUCUUUACUCGUUCCGUAAUACAUCAUCUCACAACUAACAUAUUAGUUGUAAUGCUUGCAAGGCUUAUGUGAUGUGUAUUACUGAGAGGGCCCAGAGAUACCUCUCCAACAAUCGGAGUGACAAAUCCUAAUCUCGAAAUACGCCAACCCAACAUCGACCAUUGGAGACACCUGUAGUACUCCUUUAUAAUCACCCAGUUACGUUGUGACGUUUGGUAGUACCCAAAGUGUUCCUCCGGUAAACGGGAGUUGCAUAAUCUCAUAGUCAUAGGAACAUGUAUAAGUCAUGAAGAAAGCAAUAGCAACAUACUAAACGAUCGGGUGCUAAGCUAAUGGAAUGGGUCAUGUCAAUCAGAUCAUUCUGCUAAUGAUGUGACCUCGUUAAUCAAAUAACAACUCAUUGUUCAUGGUUAGGAAACAUAACCAUCUUUGAUUAACGAGCUAGUCAAGUAGAGGCAUACUAGUGACACUUUGUUUGUCUAUGUAUUCACACAUGUAUUAUGUUUCCGGUAAAUACAAUUCUAGCAUGAAUAAUAAACAUUUAUCAUGAUUAUAAGGAAAUAAAUAAUAACUUUAUUAUUGCCUCUAGGGCAUAUUUCCUUCAAUUAAUCCACUGCCUACCUACCAGCCACCAUUUCUCCUAUAUAAAGCACCCCAAUCGACAGAAACAACAGUCAAACACAUCCCUUCUCCUCCCCCCCAGCCGCCAAAGAAAACCCUAGGAGAGAUGGAUCUUGGAGAGGUCGUAGAUGAAGAAGAACAGGUGCAGAGAGGCAGACGCAGAGAGGCAAGAAGGAGGGAGAGAAGGCAGCUGGCUUAGAGGAUCCUUGCAACAUGCAACCGCAAGGACAUUGAGCAAUUCCUGGAGGCAUUCCCACCUGGCUCAAACCCUAAUGAUGAUGAUAUCAUCUACUGGGCAAGGAGGAGGGCAAUUUUUCAUAAUUUUCAGGUCACUAGGAUGAGGUGGACUAGGAUUCUCUACCCAAAAGAUUGAGCUGCUCGUAGAUCUAACUAUGUAUGAAAUGUUUCAAUGAAUGCAAUGUAAUAAAUCCUAGAUCCCCCUUCUUCUGUGCUCCAUGAUGCAGUGUAUGAAAUGUAUGCGCAAACGUAAUGAAAUCCUUUCUACCUAUGUGUGCUCCAUGAUGCAGUGUAUGCAUGUUUUAGAUUGCUGAACAAAAAAUCAGUUAACUGAACCCAAAUUCAGUUAACAAAAAAAACAGUUAGCUGAACCCAAAUUCAGUUAACCAAAUAAAAAAACUAUAACAAAAUAAUAGUUAACUGAACCCAAACUCACUUAACCAAAUUUCAGUUAACAACAUGUCAUUAUUUUGCAAAUCAGUUAACACCUAUAAUAACUACAUAGUUACCUACAUCCUAGCAAAUCACUACUACUAGUCUACUAGCAUUGAUCUUAGUGAUUGUAACAACAGGUCCUGGGUUCGAGCCCCAGGCACACAAUUUUUGAAUUUUAUUUUUUUUACCUAAUUUUAGAAGAAUUGGCAGAACUACAGGCAAUAUUCAGUUAACUACAGGCAAUAAAAUUCAGUUAACUACUACAACAUGCAUUAAAAUUCAGUUAACUACAGGCAAUAAAAUUCAGUUCACUACAACAACAUGCACUAAAAUUCAGAUAACUAGCUCAUUGAGCAGAUUCAGUUAACUAGAACAGCAGACACAGAAAAGCAGACACACAAAAGCAGACACACAAAUUCAGUGCUAGUUUGGUUAAGUUACAAAAAGGGCAAUGAAUGCCACUGUUUUGCCACCAAAACCAGACACACAAAUUCAAUGUUGUACAUAAUACUGGCAUACAAAUUCACCAAGUUCACUAAAGGAGUAGAACUAAUUAGUAGCUCCAACUUAAGGCAGCAUUACACCAAUAAUGAAUUACUCAAACUCAUCUAAGAUCUCCUCCACCCUCCUUAUCUUGCUCUUUUUCUCCUCCUUGUGCCUGAAUAAAUCACCAAUCAUGUACUCUAGUUUCUUCUUCUCCUUCUUCAGGUCAUCCCUCUGUGACACCACUUUGUCCAUCACUUCCUUCAUUUUCUCCAUCUCUUCCUUCAUUUUGUCCAUCUGUUGCUUCAUCUCAUCCCUCUCUUUCUCUGCCUUAGCCCUCACAAUCUGAUGAAUGCCAGUGGUAGAUUUAUCAGACAACUUUGAUACGUCUCCAACGUAUCUAUAAUUUUUGAUUGCUCCAUGCUAUUGUAUUACCCCUUUUGGAUGUUUAUGGGCUUUAUUUUACAUAUUUAUAUUAUUUUUGGGACUAACCUACUAACCGGAGGCCCAACCCGUAUUGCUGUUUGUAAGAGCAUAUUUAUCCCUUAGGUGUUUUGGUGAUUGAUGACAAUGCUUUUGCGGACUAAUCGUGUGCCUUGAGUUUCUUAGACGCUUCAUCACUAGGCACGAGACGAUUCGGUGCCCCUUGAAGACUAUUGAAGACGGCGUUGUUAUACGUUUCUCUUUGGUGGAUUUGAGUCAUAGGAGAGCCGUACUAUUAAGAGGGGGUCCGCGUCGGAAAGGUUCGGGUGGAAUCAGCACGUACACAUGUCCUUCCUUUCCCUUGCACUUUGGAGCAUCUCUCCGUUAUCCUAGUUGUGCUUAAUCUGACGGCUACUGCUGUACUUGCGGUAGUACUGCUCCAUGGAGCGGUAGUACCGCAAGCACCUGCGGUAGUACCGCUAGGGGUCACGGUAGUACCGCUCCUAUGGAGCCUUAGUACCGUGGCUCUCAGGCCUAGUGCCGCUCCAGUACGGUAGUAGGGGCGGAUGUAAUCUUUUACAUCCGCGCCCCCACGGUAGUAUCGCACGUCCUGUGCGGUAGUACCGCGGGAGGCCACGGUAGUACCGCUCCCUCGGAGUCGUAGUACCAUGGCCCUCGUACCUAGUACCGCUGCGUCACGGUAAAUUACAUCCGCGCCUCCACGGUAGUACCGCGCCUCGUGCGCGGUAGUACCGCGUCAGAUUUUUUGCACUAUUUCAUUUUCAGCGGAAGUAGGCACGGAUGUAAUUUAUUUCAUCCACGCCCUUCGUAGGCAUUGACUUUCCUGCCUUGUGGUAGUACCGCAAGGGGGAGCGGUAGUACCGCGCAAGCGGUAGUACUGCACCCAGUCAGGCAAGUCCCGGCCUCUACUGCUACCGCGGAAGUACCGUGGUCCUCCAUGGUAGUACCGCGUGGCCUUGCGGUAGUACCGCGCCCCUCGAGCGGUAGUACCGCAUGUCGCAGGCUGAACAUGUGGAUAACGGUUGGAUCUUUUCCAUAACUAUAAAAGGGGCGUCUCCUACCUCUAGUUGACUACCUCUUCCACCUCUAAGCUCCAUUGUUGCUCCAAGCUCCAUUUUGGCCCGAUCUCUCUCCCUAGCCAAUCAAACUUGUUGAUUUGCUCGGGAUUGGGUGACAAGGGCCCGAUCUAUACUUCCACCAAGAGAUAUUCAAUUCCCCCACUAAUCCCUAGCGGAUCUUGUUACUCUUGGGUGUUUGAGCACCCUAGACGGUUGAGGUCACCUCGAAGCCAUACUCCAUUGUAGUGAAGCUUCGUGGUGUUGUUGGGAGCCUCCAAGUGUUGUGGAGAUUGCCCCAUCCUUGUUUGUAAAGGUUCGAUCGCCGCCUUCAAGGGCACCAAUAGUGGAAUCACGGCAUCUCGCAUUGUGUGAGGGCGUGAGGAGAUUACGGUGGCCCUAGUGGCUUCUUGGGGAGCAUUGUGCCUCCACACCGCUCUAACGGGGACGUACUUCCCUGUAAAGAAGGAACUUCGGUAACACAUCCUCGUCUUCACUGGCUCCACUCUUGGUUAUUUCGUGCCUUUACUUUUGCAAGCUUACUUGUGUUGUAUCUAUUGCUUGCUUGUGUGCUAAUUGUCAAUGCAUCAUAUAGGUUGUCCACGUAGUCGCAUAUCUAGACAACCUAUUUUGUCGCAAGGUUUAAAUUGUUAAAGAAAAGCUUAAAAAUUAUUACUUGCCUAUUCACCCCCCUCUAGUCAACCAUAUCUAUCCUUUCAAUUGGUACCAGAGCUUCAUCUCUUUAUUAAGGACUUUGCCGUCCGAAGAGUAUGGUUGACACCAAUGACGGUGCGGAGGACCACUCCGGUGUGAAUCCUAUCUCGUCUACGGCCGAUGGGGGAACCUCGGUCUCACGUGAGGAAUUCAAUGUGGCUUUAGACACAUUGAAAACCUCCAUGACGGCCGAGGUUAAAAGCAUGUUUUCUGAAUUCCUAGAAGGACUUAAACUAUCUACCUCGCCGAUGAAAGUGGGUGAUCCCACUAACAAGGUGACGGAUGCCACCUCCGACAAGGGGGAAGCUAAUAGUGAAAAAGGUCCUUCUACUAGUGGUAGAAAUGGCUCCGGCAUCUUUGCCCAUGUGGAACCUCCUACUUAUGGUGGACCGAUUCCCACUACUCAUUUAAAUCAUGUCGGUCCUCCUCCUAAGAUUGUGAAAAAUGAGGAUUUUGAUGCUUGGGUUUAUCAUUUCAAGCGACAUCUAAAACAUGUGAAUACUAAUCUUUGGAGAAUUAUAGAAGAAGGUUUCUAUCCACAUGACCCAAGCAACUUCACCCCUCGAGAAGCCGUGGAUAAUCAAUUCAAUGAGAGUGCUCUCUUCAUCAUCCAAGAUGCAAUCCUUCCCGAAGAUCUCCCUCAUCUUUGUCCUCAUGCCAUGGCUAAAGACGCAUGGCAAUGUGUUGUGUCUCUCUAUCAAGGAAGUGCUAGCAUUCAACGCUCCAACUAUGAAGUGGUGCAAGAUGAAGCCGAUGAGUUUGCAAUGAAAGAAGAUGAAGAACCUCGUGAGCUCUUUCGAAGAGUGACCAAACUCGCAGUCGCACUCCGAGAUCAUGGGAGCAAGGACACGGAUGACAAUUGGAUCAAGCACAAGUUCCUCAAGGCCAUGAUGCCCUACAACAAGGCCAUGUCCUCCGUCAUUCGUCAAAGACCGGACUUCCACUCCAUGACCUCAAGUGAAGUGUUGGAUGAGUUCGUUGCAAUGAGCAUCUUGGACAAGACCGCCGACAAUGUGGUGCUAUGUUCUCAAAGGGCAAAGAAGCCCAACCUUGCCUUGAAGGCCAAGGUUAGUGUGGAAGAAGAAGAAGAGGAAGAUGAGGAGAGCAACCCCAAAGACACGAAGUAUGAUUAUCAUGAGCACAUGGCUCUUGCCUCAAGACAAUUUUGGAGUAAGAAGAAUACAAGACCCAACUUCAACAAGAACAACUCAAGUGGCCUCAAGGGCAAGCAAGGAGUUAGAACUUGUCUCAACUGUGGCAAUGUGAGCCAUUUCGUUGCGGAUUGUCCUUACGAGAAGCGGGAAGACAAUGGUGGCAAGUUCAUCCAAAAAGACAAAGCCAAGUCCUUCCCCAACAAGAACAAUUUCACCAAGAAGACUCCUACACGCGGGUUGGUAGUUCAAGAAGAAUACCGUGAGGAUGACGAUGAUGAUGAAGAUAGUGAAGCAAUGGCUAUGGCAUCCGUUGCCAUUGCCAUAACUCCCCGGGUGUCUCUCUUCGAUUCACCCAACGAGAACAUCACCGCCAAGUGCCUCAUGGCUAAAGCCACCAACAAGGUAACCCCCAACAUCAAAACCACCAUUAUUCCUAAUCCUUCUUUGACGGUUCGCUUUGAUGAUGGUAAGGGGUCUAAUGAGGAGGUAAAUGAAUUUGAGUCCUUCAUGAGUAAGCUCAAGGGCAAAUCCAAGAAGCACUUCGUUGCUCUCUUGGAACAACUUGGUGAAGCCAAUGACAUGACCGAGGCUCACGAAGAAACCAUCUCUAAGAUGGAAGGUCAUAGUCGUGACUAUGCCGAUGAGAUAUCGGAUCCCUCUAAUGCUCUUGAGGAAGAGCGUGUGCAUCGUUUGGCUCUUGAGGAGUCACACAACGAUGACCAUGCCAAAUUAAAGAAAUAUCUUGAUCAUGCUCUUGCUGUGUCUCAUGUUCUAACUUCCGAGAAGGCUAAACUUGGGGUUGAUCAUGCUAGACUCAAGGAGGAGUUUGAUGUACUUGACAAGGCCCAUAAGGUCUUGAAAGGUGCUCAUGCAAACCUCAAGGAGUCUCAUGCUCAACUCCAAGUUAAGCUAACCAAGGAAAAGGCCACAUUUCCUCACAUGGUCUUAAUUGAUAAUGCAAAUGCUACUAACCCGUGUUGUGAGCAUGUGCAUCUUGUGGAGGAGAAUGCCAAGUUGAAGGAACAACUCGAGAAAGGUCUUGUGUCUUGCAUACAAGGUAAGAAGAACCUAAAUGACCUUUUGAGCAAUCAAAAGGAAGUUGUGGGCAAGGAGGGAGUUGGGUUCUCACCCAAGUCCAAGAACAAGAAGAAGAACGAGGAGAAGAAUAACAAGACCAAACAACCUCCCCCGCUCAAGCAAACUUUUGUGAAGGAGGGAGAGGGUGCUCCUAAGGAGAAGAAGAACAAUGCAAAGAGUGGUGAUGCCAAAAAUGGCAAAUCCAUCUCUCCCAACAAAGCCGGUGAUUUUAACCCCUCUUAUGUGUUGUGCCGUGCUAGUGAUGGGCAUGUUUAUGCUAAAUUUGUUGGUUCUUCUUAUGAGUACAUUGAAUGGUCUAUUUGGGUUCUUAAGACCCUUGUUACUAACAUCAAAGGACCCAUUACUAAAUGGGUACCUAAAACCAAGCAUUGAUCUCUUGUAGGUGUUUGCUUCCGGUGGGGGAUCAUGGUUGCUCGACAGUGGAGCAACAAAUCAUAUGACGGGAGCAAGGACUUGGUGGUGGAUGUGCAAAAGAUCCCAUCUAUGCCCACCAAUGUCGAGUGGGGUGAUGCCUCACAUUCUAAGGUAUUGGGUCUUGGCAAGGUUGUCAUUUCUCAUGAUCUAACGAUCGAGAAAGUCAUGCUUGUUGAGUCCCUUGCGUUCAAUUUACUUUCCGUUCGUCAACUCGCACUCAUGGGCUUUGCCACCUUCUUUGAUAUUGAUACCGUGGCCCUCUUGUGGAGCAAGACUCUUAAAGUAGCCUUUGUUGGGCAUGUCGAGAAUGGUCUCUAUGUGAUUAAGUUUUCGGAGCAACCCACUAAGACCGCGACAUGCCUAAUGGCUAAAGUUGAUGUGGGAUGGCUUUGGCAUCGCUGUUUAGCCCAUGUCAAUAUGAGAUCUUUGCAAAGUCUUCUCAAGGGGGACCAUGUCUGUGGACUAACAAAUGUUAGUUUUGCCAAAGAUCGUGCUUGCAAUGCUUGUAUCGAAGGAAAACUUCAUGAGACGGCUCACCCUCCCAUGACUAUCAUCUACUCGAAGAGACCCUUGGAGCUCCUUCACAUGGACCUCUUUGGGCUUCCAUCCUUUGAUAGUCUUGGGGGUAGAAAGUAUUGCUUGGUGAUUGUUGAUGAUUAUUCAAGAUACACUUGGGUAUACUUCUUCAAGAGGAAGAGUGAGACUCAACAAACCAUCAUCGACUUUGCAAAUGAAGCUCAAUGUCAACAUAAUGCAAAGAUCUUGACAAUAAGAAGUGACUACGGCACCGAGUUCAAGAACUACACCUUGGAUGAGUUUCUUAGUGAUGAGGGGAUCAAGCAUCAAUAUUCUGCACCAUAUACCCCUCAACAAAAUGGUGUGGCGGAGAGGAAGAACCGGACGUUGAUGGAUGCGGCAAGGACCAUGAUGGCGGAGUUCAAGUCUCCAUACAACUUUUGGGCCGAAUCCAUCAACACCGCAUGUCAUGCAUCCAAUCGGCUCUAUCUCCGCAAAGGCUUGAACAAGACUCCUUAUGAGAUACUCACCGGAAACAAGCCCAAUCUCAAGUACUUCCAGGUGUUCGGGUGUAAGUGUUUCAUUCUGAAGAAAGGUGUUCGUUUGUCUAAAUUUGAGGCUAGAGCUUAUGAGGGCAUAUUUGUUGGUUAUGCUACAAACUCUCAUGCUUACCGUGUUCUCAACAAGUCCACCAGACUCAUUGAGGAGACGUGUAACGUAGAGUUUGACGAAAAUAAUGGCUCCCAAGUGGAGAAAAGUGGUACUUGUGGUGUAGGUGAUGAAAUUCCUCCCCAAGCCAUAAUAAGAAUGGGUAUUGGUCAUAUUCUACCCAUUGAGGAACCCCUUGUGGCCGAAGGAGAAGGACAAUGCUCCACUCAAGUGGAGCCUUCACCUACUCAAGACCCACACGCUUCCGAAGAACAAAGUGUAGGCCCUCAACCUGGGGAACAAGACCAAGGGAAAGAUCAAUCUCAAGAUGAUGGUGAACCUCCAAAUGAUGCCCAAGGUCAAGUUCUCCCCCUCGAGCAAGUUCAAGAUCACGAGCAAGCUCAAGAUCAAGAACAAGCUCAAGACGGCGCUCAAGAUGAUCAAGUUAACUCUCCUCCUUCCACAUUUGAGGAGGAAUUAGAGCGUCGUGCUGCGAAGAUUGCUUCCAAACUCACCACCAAAGGCCAUCUCAUGGAGAAUGCGGUUGGAAGCCUAAGAAAGGGGGUAAGCACUCGUAGACAAUUAGAAACUAUUGUGAACAUCACGCGUUUGUCUCUUGUGUUGAACCCCAAAAGGUCUAUGAGGCACUCGAAGACUCGGAUUGGCUCAAUGCCAUGCAUGAAGAACUCAACAACUUCGAGUACAACAAGGUGUGGAGGUUGGUGCCAAGGCCUUCGGGGAACCAUAACAUCAUUGGAACCAAGUGGAUCUUCAAGAACAAGCAAGAUGCUCAUGGGAACAUCAUUCGCAACAAGGCAAGAUUGGUAGCACAAGGCUACUCCCAAGUCGAGGGUAUCGACUACGGUGAAACCUUUGCUCCUGUUGCUCGCCUUGAAUCCAUUUGUUUGUUGAUUGCUUAUGCUUCCCAUCACAACUUUAAGUUACAACAAAUGGAUGUGAAAAGUGCUUUUCUUAAUGGUCCUAUUAAUGAGUUGGUUUAUGUCAAGCAACCCCCUGGUUUCGAGGAUCCUUACUUCUCGGAUCAUGUGUAUCAACUCGAUAAGGCACUCUAUGGCCUUAAACAAGCCCCACGUGCGUGGUAUGACCACCUUACCGAGUUGUUACAAGAUCGUGGAUUUGAAGUAGGGCAAAUCAAUCCCACUCUUUUUACUAAGAAGGUCAAAGGGGAGUUGUUUGUGUGCCAACUAUAUGUUGAUGACAUUAUCUUUGGUUCCCCUAACAAUGGUUUCAAUGAAGAAUUUGCCGCUCUCAUGACCUCUAAGUUCAAGAUGUCUUUGAUGGGAGAGUUGAAGUUCUUCCUUGGUUUUGAUAUCAAACAAAGAAGAGAAGGUACCUUCAUCAACCAAGCCAAAUACACUCAAGACAUGCUUAAGAGAUUCAAGCUAAGUGAUGUCAAGCCGGCCUCUACUCCGAUGCCCACCAAGUGCCAACUUGACAUUGAUCCCAAUGGUAAAGCGGUGGAUCAAAAGGUAUAUCGCUCUAUGAUUGGUUCCUUGCUUUACCUUUGUGCAUCUAGACCGAAUAUUAUGUUGAGUGUUGGAAUGUGUGCACGGUCCCAAGCUGCACCAAAGGAAAGCCACUAUGUGGCGGUCAAGCGAAUCUUUUGAUAUUUGGCUCAUACCCCAAACUUUGGCCUAUGGUACCCAAGAGGAGCUAACUUCAAGCUUGAAGGAUUCACGGAUUCUGAUUGGGCGGGAGACAAGGUGGAUAGGAAGUCCACUUCCGGAGGGUGCCAAUUUCUUGGUUGCUCUUUGGUAAUUUGGUCUUCCAAGAAGCAAAGUUGUGUGUCUCUCUCGUCCACCGAAGCGGAAUAUGUGGCGGCCGGUAGUUGUUGUGCACAACUCUUAUGGAUGAGGCAAACUUUAAAGGAGUACGGUGUCAUUUGUGACAAAGUGCCUCUUUGGUGUGACAAUAAAAGUGCCAUCAAGAUUUCUCUCAACACGGUGCAACACUUCAAGACGAAGCAUAUUGAGAUUCGGUAUCACUUCAUCCGGGAUCACAUUAGGCGAGGGGAGAUCGAGCUCAAGUAUGUCAACACUCAUGAUAACCUUGCAGAUAUUUUCACGAAGCCCUUGGAUGAAGCAAGAUUUCGCGAGUUAAGGCAUGAGCUAAAUUUCAUUGAUUCGAGCAAUGUGACUUGAACCCUUGCACCCCCACCACACUCAACUUGUUGUCUAGUUUAGAUGUAGGCAUGGACAUAGGGGGAGUGUUGUUCUCUCAAUGAACUCUCUCUCCCCCCACUAUGCAUAAAUCGAUCAACUCUUUCACAUUAGCCAUUUUUGAUGGUACUUGUGCUUCAAAGACGAGUUUUGGUCAUGGGCCCAAGGAUAAUUCUUCGCGGUGCCAUACCAACUAACUCAAACAUAGGUGGCUCUGGUCACCGCCCUCUCCUUUUGAGAGGUUGGGUUGCGCGGUUGCUUCUUGUUGUCUUUCUGCCUUUGGGUUGUUCGUGUUCUUGUGGUGUCUUUUGUGCUAAAAGUUUCUUUGCAAAGACCUCUUUUCGUGUGUCGAAACAUGCAUUUUCUUGAGCUCACGGUACUACCGCAGCCUGCUACGGUACUAUCGCGUGAGGGGAGCACGGUACUACCGCCCCCACGCGGCAGUAAUUUUUUACUGCCGCCUGGGAGAGCGGUACUACCGCUUCGGUGCGGUACUUCCGCCCAAGCGGUACUAACGCAAUGACAUGCGGUACUACCGCAAUGGCUCGGACGCAUGGGGAUAAGGACGGGCAGGGGGAGUUCUAACUCCCCCAUACCCAUUCGCCCGUUCCCCAUCUUCUCUCUCUCUCUCUCUCUCUCUCUCUCUCUCAAGAACGGAGCCGGCGUCCGUCACCGGAUCUCCGCCUCCGGCUGCCCUCCCGUGAUUCCGAUCGGUGGGAUCGUUCCCCACCACGUGCUCUUGCUAUGGACCAAGGUCUUUCCCCAACUCCUUCUCAUUUUUGUUGUGUUCGUUGUCUCUAGAUUUUGGGGGAGACUUGUGUGUUCUUGAGAUUCUUAGGCUUAAUCUUUGCAAGAGUAGGAUGAAGGAGCAUAGUAUUGCGUAGGAAUUAUACUUGUCCUUGUCCUGUGCUAGAUGUGAUCACCGUAGCACUGCCGUGGUUUCACGGUUCUUUUCAGAUUCAAACCGUCGUUUGGAUCUGACGUGGCGCGGUACUACCGCCCAUCUGGCGCGGUACUACCGCUUGUCCGGUACUACCACCCACUGGCGCGGUACUACUGCAUUCACUGCGGCACUAAAACUUUACUACCGCUCCAGCCACGGUACUACCGUGCCUCUCACGGUACUACCACAACCUGGAGCAGUACUAAAAUUUUAGUACCACAGGAUCUGGCAGUACCACCGUGGCUCACAUCUAUCUCAUGGCAACUUUCACGUAUACUUUCUAUGUGUUUCUUGUGCUUUACCGUGGUCCUUGCAUUGAUCCUUUUUGCGUUUUGUGCGUGUUUUGCGUGUGUGUCUCAGGUGGUGGCUCUCGCCGUUCCAACCCUAGUCGUGACAUGGGCUCCAAGCGUCUACGCAAUCCAGGUGAAGCACCAGAGGGCUCCUCUGUCCCCAAGCGCCAUGUCAAGUCAUCAGCCAGCAAGCACAAGGAACCCGCUAAGGGCAUGGACGAGAUACCCCAAUCUGAGUUUGUCCGUCUCAGGAAGCUCAACCCGUAUGUGAACCCUCGUGCCACUGUCAAAGGUUGUGAGCUGUUUUGGAACAAGCAACAGACUCUCAUUUAUCUGGAUGUCAUCAAGAACAAGCAGAAUACCUAUGUGGAUGUCAAAUGGAUAGAAAUGCAUCACAUGAGGAAGGACCAGCAUCGUGCGUACUUUGGAGAAGCUCUGGACCUGGUGGAGCAGUUUGGUAUUGAACAUGUGAUCUCUUUUCACCUUGACUAUGACCCUGAGCUCAUCUGUCAGUUCUUUUCCUCAGUAUACUUUCACCAUGAUGAGGAGCGGAGGAUGACCUGGAUGACCAAUGGCCGUAUGAUGACUGCUACUUGGAAGGAGUUCAUGGACCUGCUCCACGUUCCUGAUGAUGGGCUCAACACUCCCGUGGGUGUUCGCCCCCAUGCUAAUCCUGAGUCUGCUAACGAGGACAAGCUUCAGCCAUACUAUGUUGAGAAGGUGCUUGCCAAUGGCAAGACGGGGUUUGUGCUCAACUCUUUCCUGGAUAUCAUGUAUCGCAUCUUCCGCAACUCCUUGUUCCCUCGCAUUGGUGACAAGGACAAGGUUCAUGCCUAUAUGGUGGAUAUGAUGCUCAUUUGUGAGGAGGCUCGUUUGUCUCAGACUCAGACACUUGACGUCUCACACAUCAUGUGGUGUGAGCUUCGGUUUGCGGUGUUCAACCGCAAAGUGCCUAUCUAUGGGCCCUAUCUGUUUCUGCUGAUCUCGAGGACUUGGGAGAAGAUGUUCCCUGGGGAGGAGUUCCUUGCUCCAGACUGGAUUCGCCAUGAUCCCAUCUGUCUCCGUGUCAAGUCCAACUGGGCCAACACUACUACUCACGCUGAGGCGUCUGCUGCUCGGGCUGCUGUUGGUGAGGAGGAUUUUGGCGUAGAGGAUGUUGCUGAGGACCGUGCUGCCAGGCCUUCUCAUAGUUCCUCUGUGCCCUCGUGGGCCAAGAAGCUGAAGGACAAGAUGAAGACUCUUUUCUGCAUGCAAGCUAAGGGCCAGUACAAGACUCACGUGGCAUCCAAGGAGAGUCGUCGCCGGGACAAGAAGAUCUUGCAGCUCUAUGGUGAGGAUGUGUCUGGCGGUUUUGAGGAUCGCAUCACUCCAGAGGCCGAGUGGAUGGAGAAGCAAGGCUACAGGUGGACUGAUUCUGAGGAGGACGUCGAGGAGACCAUCCCUGCUGCCGAGGAGUCCGACGGAGAGGGUUGGGAUGAGUUCCCUGCUUGAGCCACCCAGUGUGUGUAGGUGUCCUCUCUGCCUUUUUGGCGUCUCGAUGCCAAAGGGGGAGAGAGUGUAGGGAUUUGCGAGUCUUGUGUCAUCGUUCGUGUUCAGUGUGUUUGCUGCUUUCUCUUUGAACCUCGUUUCAGUUGCGUUGGGUUGCUUUACUUCAUAUGGUGUAAGACAUAUGCACUCUAUCUAUCUUAGCAAGCUUGUGAUAUAUUGUGCUACCUUUGUGAUAUGCUCUGCUUAGAUGUUAGUUAUCAUGCCUUUGUCUCUAUAAUAUAGGGGGAGUGUUCAUCCUAGGUUCUGUGCGAUGCAGUCCAAAGCAUCUAUCUAGAUUGCACACAUCUAGGGGGAGCCCGUCUAUAUUCUAGAGAGGAGGGGUUUGCCUGUGACCUAUAUUAUCUCUCUAUGUGCAAAUCCCGUAUUGUCAUCAAUCCACCAAAAAGGGGGAGAUUGUAAGGGCAUAUUUAUCCCUUAGGUGUUUUGGUGAUUGAUGACAAUGCUUUUGCAGACUAAUCGUGUGCCUUGAGUUUCUCAGACGCUUCAUCACUAGGCACGAGACGAUUCGGUGCCCCUCGAGGACUAUUGAAGACGGCGUUGUUCUACAUUUCUCUUUGGUGGAUUUGAGUUGUAAGAGAGCUGUACUAUUAAGAGGGGGUCCGCGUCGGAAAGGUUCGGGUGGAAUCAGCACGUACACAUGUCCUUCCUUUCCCUUGCACUUUGGAGCAUCUCUCCGUUAUCCUAGUUGUGCUUAAUCUGACGGCUACUGCUGUACUUGCGGUAGUACUGCUCCAUGGAGCGGUAGUACCGCAAGCACCUGUGGUAGUACCACUGGGGGUCACGGUAGUACCGCUCCUCUGGAGCCUUAGUACCGUGGCUCCCAGGCCUAGUGCCGCUCCAGUACGGUAGUAGGGGCGGAUGUAAUUUUUUACAUCCGCGCCCCCUCGGUAGUACCGCACGUCCUGCGCGGUAGUACCGCAGGAGGCCAUGGUAGUACCGCUCCCCCGGAGUCGUAGUACCGUGGCCCUCGUACCUAGUACCGCUGCAUCACGGUAGUAGGAGCGGAUGUAAUUUUUUACAUCCGCGCCUCCACGGUAGUACCGCGCCUCGUGCGCGGUAGUACCACGUCGAAUUUUUUGCACUGUUUCAUUUUCAGCGGAAGUAGGCACGGAUCUAAUUUAUUUCAUCCGCGCCCUUCAUAGGCAUUGACUUUCCUGCCUUGCGGUAGUACCGCAAGGGGGAGCGGUAGUACCGCGCAAGCGGUAAUACUGCACCCAAUCAGGCAAGUCCCGGCCUCUGCUGCUACCGCGGAAGUACCGUGGUCCUCCACGGUAGUACCGCGUGGCCUUGCGGUAGUACCGCGCCCCUGGAGCGGUAGUACCGCAUGUCGCAGGCUGAACAUGUGGAUAACGGUUGGAUCUUUUCCGUAACUAUAAAAGGGGUGUCUCCUACCUCUAGUUGACUACCUCUUCCACCUCUAAGCUCCAUUGUUGCUCCAAGCUCCAUUUUGGCCCGAUCUCUCUCCCUAGCCAAUCAAACUUGUUGAUUUGCUCGGGAUUGGGUGACAAGGGCCUGAUCUACACUUCCACCAAGAGAUAUUUGAUUCCCCCACUAAUCCUUAGCGGAUCUUGUUACUCUUGGGUGUUUGAGCACCCUAGACGGUUGAGGUCACCUCGAAGCCAUACUCCAUUGUGGUGAAGCUUCGUGGUGUUGUUGGGAGCCUCCAAGUGUUGUGGAGAUUGCCCCAUCCUUGUUUGUAAAGGUUCGGUCGCCGCCUUCAAGGGCACCAAUUGUAGAAUCACGGCAUCGCGCAUUGUGUGAGGGCGUGAGGAGAUUACGGUGGCCCUAGUGGCUUCUUGGGAAGCAUUGUGCCUCCACACCGCUCUAACAGAAGCAUUGUGUGCUAGUUGUCAUUGCAUCAUAUAGGUUGUCCACAUAGUUGUAUAUCUAGACAACCUAUUUUGUCGCAAGGUUUAAAUUGUUAAAGAAAAGCUUAAAAAUUGUUAGUUGCCUAUUCACCCCCCUCUAGUCAACCAUAUCAAUCCUUUCACUAUUUUUUUUGCCUAUUUCAGUAUUUCGAAGAAAAGGAAUAUCAAACGGAGUCCAAACAGAAUGAAACCUUCGGGAGCAUGAUUUUUGGAACGAAUGUGAUCCAGAGGACUUGGAGUGCAAGUCAAGAAGAAAUCGAGGCGGCCAAGAGAUAGGAGGGCGCGCCCACCCCUCCUGGGCGCGCCCCUGUCUCCAGGGCCCCUCCAGCGGCCACCUACGUACUUCUUCCUCCUAUAUAUACCUACGUACCCCGAAAACAUCCAGGGAGCCAACGAAAAACAAUUUCCACCGCCGUAACCUUCUGUAUCCGCGAGAUCCCAUCUUGGAGCCUUCGCCGGCGCUCCGCCGGAGGGGGAAUCGACCACGGAGAGCUUCUACAUCAACACCAUAGCCCAUCCGAUGAGUUGUGAGUAGUUUACCACAGGCCUUCGGGUCCAUAAUUAUUAGCUAGAUGGCUUCUUCUCUCUUUUUGGAUCUCAAUACAAUGUUCUCCCCCUCUCUUGUGGAGACCUAUUCGAUGUAACUCUUUUUGUGGUGUGUUUGUCGAGAUCUGGUGAAUUGUGGGUUUAUGAUCAAGUUUAUCUAUGAGAAAUAUUUGAAUCUUCUCUGAAUUCUUUUAUGUAUGAUUGAGUUAUCUUUGCAAGUCUCUUCAAAUUAUCAAUUUGGUUUGGCCUACUAGAUUGAUCUUUCUUGCCAUGGGAGAAGUGCUUAGCUUUGGGUUCAAUCAUGCGGUGUCAUUACCCAGUGACAUAAUGGGUUGCAAGGCACGUAUUGUAUUAUUGCCAUCGAGGAUAAAAAAUGGGGUUUAUAUCAUAUUGCUUGAGUUUAUCCCUCUACAUCAUGUCAUCUUUCUUAAUGCGUUACUCUGUUCUUAUGAACUUAAUACUCUAGAUGCAUGCUGGAUAGCGGUCGAUGUGUGAGUAAUAGUAGUAGAUGCAGGCAGGAGUCGGUUUACUUGUCGCGGACGUGAUGCCUAUAUACAUGAUCAUGCCUAGAUAAUCUCAUAAUUAUUCGCUUUUCUAUCAAUUGCUUGACAGUAAUUUGUUCACCCACCAUAAUACUUAUGCUAUCUUGAAAGAAGCCACUAUAUUAUAAAAUACCAAAAAUGUAUUUAUCUUAUCAUACUAUCUCUAUCAGAUCUCACUUUCGCAAGUGACCGUGAAGGUAUUGACAACCCCUUUAUUGCGUUGGUUGCGAGUUCUUUGUUUGUCUGUGUAGGUGCGUGGGACUUUUGAGGAGCCUCCUACUAGAUUGAUACCUUGGUUCUCAAAAACUGAGGGAAAUACUUACGCUACUUUGCUGCAUCACCCUUUCCUCUUCAAGGAAAACCAACGCAAGCUCAAGACGUAGCAAGCUUCUUCUUCUCAAGCUCUUGCUUUAGGUCAGAAAGAGAAAGUGUUGCAUUGCCCAAUUCUGUAAUUGCCUGCUCCUUUUCAGCCACCAUCUUAGCAAAAUCUACUUUAAAAAACCUCAAAUCUUUUUCCAUCUUUUCCUUCUCUUUCACAACCCUAAAAUUUUCCGCAGCAUUAACUACAUUUUCCCUGAGCCUUAGCUUGUUCUCAUCAUCAUACAUGCCCCAAACCCUAGGUAAACCCAUCUUCAGAGUGGCAGGCCAUUCAGGGUUAAUCCACUCCAUAAAGUUGCAUUUAAGUAUUUCCUACCAAAUAAUAAAGAAAACAACUUUAGAUAAAUGAAAAAGCUUGGAGGAGUAUUGAUUCAGUUAAAUUCAUUUAAAUCCAGUUAAGUUCACUUAACUGAAUUUAAAUCCAGUUAAGUUAAGUUAGUUCAUUUGAUUUCAGUUAAGUUCACUUAACUGAAUUUAAAUUUAGAUAAGUUCAGUUAUUUCAUUUAAACUCAGUUAAGUUAUGUUAUUUCAUUAAAAUCCAGUUAAGUUCAGUUACUUCAUUUAAAUUCAGUUAAGUUCACAAACAAGAUGGUGUUAACUCAAAGAUUCAGUUAAGUUCACAAACUAGAUGCUCUUAACUGAAUAUGCAUUGCAAGUUGGAUUUAACUGUAGAUCUACUAACCUUUUGUGCACAAGCAAGAUACCUCCUUCCACUAUCAACUGAUUCAAAGGACACAAAAUUCUCACACACACAAUGGUGUUCACAUCUAGCUGCAAGAUCUGGAGCAAGGCCUCUCCACUCAGAGCAGAAAAUGGUGGCAGAAGUAGGAGCCUACAACAUUGUGUACAACAAAUUCUCGUCAGCAAAGAGGCAGACAUCGAAUACCUAACUACUGCAUCAUCUAUGCUGAAAUUUUGCUACUCAAGAACACCAUUUUUGCUAAAUCCCUAACUGCCAUAGGCAUAGUCAAGAACUAACCUCAUUUGUCACAGAGUAGCCGUCGGACGACGAGCUGGAUCCUUCACUCCAAGAUACCAUAGGGGACGAGCUGGACGGCGGCGGCGAGCUUGCUGGUGGCGUGGAGAAGCUGCUGCUGGAGCUGAGGGGGGCAGGGGGCAGAUGGGGAACGAGUGGAGCUGGAGCUGGACCGGACGUGAACUCGAUUCCGACAUAGUUAAUUCAGGUGUGCUAUACUGCAGGUUGAUAAAAGAAAAUGGCAGUUUUUUUUUGCAAAAGUGCGUGCGCUGACCGGUCCAGUCUUCGGAGAUGGUGUACACAUGAUUGACCGGUCCACCUGGCUGCCAAUUGGCGAGCUGUGAUUGGCCUGAGACUAAAUCAUCACAUGAGGUGCAAGUUAAGGUAUGGUCUGCAAGUUAGGGUACUAUUACGUCCAGGAAAAUCAUGCGUCGCUACAACACCUGUCUAACGGCUGUGAUCUAGUUCAACUAUCUUCUGUUGCAACAACGGAAUGAGCAACGUGACGGCCGCCAUAGUGUUAUUAUUAUAUUACUACUAGUACAUGUCCAAACAUUUGUGUAUGACAACAUUCGUGACAGGACAAAUGCCUCUCGCGCUUGUGAUUUUGCUGGCAUUUUCAUGUCCUUUUGACCUUCACCAUGCAUGCACAAAUGUUUAGAGUUGAGACAUUCUAAAUAUAGGAAGGUGGCUUUGGUCAGGAAGAGAUGCACCUCCGAUGACGGCGAGCCGCAUAUGCAUGCACGGACAAGCUCGCCACCGACAUCGCCGGAUCAUCCUCCCCCCGUUUGCCCCCUCUUCUGGUCUGCCCUAUAAAAGCAGGGCAGCAAGCAAGAAGAGGCACAGCGGCAACAAGGAACAGUUCAAGAGAAGAGAAGAUGGCUUCUUCUUCCUCGUCGGUGCUGCUGGUUGCGGCGGUGUUGGCCGCGGUGGUGUGCGGCGCGCACGGCAUCCCCAAGGUUCCCCCUGGCCCCAACAUCACGGCGUCUCCUGCGAGCUACGGCAACAAGUGGCUGGACGCCAAGACCACGUGGUACGGCAAGCCGACGGGCGCCGGGCCCAAGGACAACGGCGGCGCCUGCGGGUACAAGGAGGUGGACAAGGCCCCCUUCCACGGCAUGACCUCCUGCGGCAACAUCCCCAUCUUCAAGGACGGCCGCGGCUGCGGCUCCUGCUUCGAGCUCAAGUGCACCAAGCCCGAGGCCUGCUCCGGCGAGCCCACCAUGGUCACCAUCACCGACAAGAACGAGGAGCCCAUCGCCCCCUACCACUUCGACCUCUCCGGCCACGCCUUCGGCUCCAUGGCCAAGAAGGGCGAGGAGCAGAAGCUGCGCGACGCCGGCGAGGUGGAGAUCAAGUUCCGGCGCGUCAAGUGCAAGUACCCGCCGGGCACCAAGGUCAACUUCCACGUGGAGAAGUCCUCCAACGAAAACUACCUGGCCCUGGUGAUCAAGUUCCUCCAAGGCGACGGCGACGUGGUGGGCGUGGACAUCAAGCAGAAGGGCGAGGACAAGUGGACCGAGCUCAACGAGUCGUGGGGAGCCGUGUGGAGGAUCGACACCCCCCACAAGCUCAUCGGCCCCUUCUCCGUCCGCUACACCACCGAGGGCGGCACCAAGACCGUCGUCGAGGACGUCAUCCCCAAGGGCUGGAAGGCCGACACCUCCUACGAGGCCAAGGGCGGGUACUGAAGAUGAUGAUGAUGAUGCGAUCCACACCUUCCGGCAGCCAGCUUAAUUAAUUAACUAACUCCUUUUGGCUACAUAUGAUGCGAUGAGAGCAUGAGUAUAUAUACUUAUUCAUUCAUUUACUAUAGGGAAAGAGCGUGGACAACUAAUAAUUUUUUGUUUUGAUGUAUCUAAACUUGCUCAUGAUUGUAAACAUGUCUUAUUAAUAGAAAUUGGUACGCACGCAUUAAUUAUCUUUUCUUUUCUUUCAAAAAUCCCAUAAAAGAUUGCUCGAGCUAGCCCGUUAUAUUUCCUCUUCUCUUCUUCUCAAAAACUGAAUUGCCACACCUAAACAACAGGGCAGCACUAUAGCUCACUUGGAGACCACUUAGUUAGGUCGCUGGAUGGUCUCCAUUUUCGCCAAAGGAAAUAUAUUAAUAUUUUAAAGAUAUCGAUUACAUCCAGACUCUGCAACAAUGAAAUGUUCUACAAACAUUAAGGAUGCACACAGCCCUACAACAAAGAAGAAGAAGAAGAAAACAAAAGAUUCCGCUACGGUGAUCAAAACCAUGUAGCUGCAAAACAAACCAUUGGGAAGGCAAAACUCGGAGUCCAAAUUCUCUAAAAGUGACGCUUCCAAGAAGAAAACAGUGCAGAAAUGCUCUCGCCGCCCGAUCAUAGAUCUCAGGUUUUCACCCUGAACAAAGCCCGCGCUCUUAAUACAAUGCUUUCAACAAGGCCGUUGCCAGGCACAACCACUUAAGGUCAUACCUUGGAUUUUCACCUUGAAAGAUAAGACUAUGUACUCCUCCUGUGUUGCCGUGUCCGCUUGCCGAUGCCGCUGCCAGGCACAACCACUCAAGGGCAAGGAUAAGUGGAUCGAGCUCAAGGAGUCGUGGGGAGCCGUGUGGAGGUUCGACACCCCUGACAAGCUCAUCGGCCCCUUCACCGUCCGCUACACCACCGAGGGUGGCACCAAGACCGUCGCCGAGAACGUCAUCCCCGAGGGCUGGAAGGCCAACACCUCCUACGAGACCAAGGGCGGGUACUGAAGAUGAUGAUGAUGAUGAUGCGACACCUUUCGGCCUUAAUUAAUUAACUUCUUUUGGCUCGAAAAGAAGAAUAAGCUAGUCGCACAUAUCAUAUACUAGUACAGUAGUAGUAUAUGAUGAAUGCAAGCUCCUGCACGCAUGAAAUAUACAUACUCGUUCAUUCAUGGUGCGUAUAUAUAGGGAGAGAGCUCCAUGCAUGGACAACUCAUAAUUUAAGGAGGCGAACUUGUGAGGUGCAAUCAAGGAGGCAUCCACCCAAGAAUUGGUUUGCUCUCCCGCGCGCCCACUGAGGGAGUCUUGGAUUAGGGGGUCCUCGGACAGCCGGACUGUUGGAUUAUGAAGAUACAAGAUUGAAGACUUCGCUCCGUAUCCGGGUGGGACUCUCCUUUGCAUGGAAGGCAAGCUUGGCAAUUCGGAUAUUUAGAUUCCUUUCUCUGUAACCGACUCUGUGUAACCCUAGCCCCCUCCGGUGUUUAUAUAAACCGGAGGGCUUAGUAUGUAGGACAACAACAAUCAUAAUCAUAGGCUAGCUUCUAGUGUUUAGCCUCUAUGAUCUUGUGGUAGAUCAACUCUUGUAAUACUUAUAUCAUCAAGAUCAAUCAAGAAGGAAGUACGGUAUUAACUCCAUAGAGAGGGCCCGAACCUGGGUAAACAUUGUGUCCCCUGCCUCCUAUUACCAUUAGCCUUAGACGCAUAGUUCGGGACCCCCUACCCGAGAUCCGCCGGUUUUGACACCGACAUUGGUGUUUUUAUUGAGAGUUCCACUGUGUCACCAAAAGACUGGAUGGCUCCUUCAAAAGGGUGAGGUUUCCCCCCCGACAGAUUUUUGUAUUCGGCGACUUCGCACUGCGGGCCAACUCGCUUGGCAAUCUGGAGCAGAUCGAUAGCUACUCCCCUGGCCAUCAGGUCAGGUUUGGAAGCCUGAACUACACUACCGACAUCCGCGGAGACUUGAUCUUUGACGGAUUCGAGCCCAUGACAGGUACACCCCACAACCACGAUGAGCAUGACCUAGAUCUGCCAUAGGACAAUAUUCAGGAGAUCGCACCUGCAGCUGCGCUGGCUUUAGAUCCAGUGCAGGUCGCGCCAUCCGAGGACGGGAGGAUGGACCCCGCCGCGGAAGCCGCACACUCAACGGUGAUAGGGCCGAACACAGAUUUCACCCCCAACGAGGUCUAUGUCAUCGGACCCUCAGACUUGUCUCCGGUCACAGAGUCCAAACCACGCGUAUCCACGCCCAUCGGAUCUAACUGGGCACCGAUCUUGGAGUUCAGCUCCGCAAACAUCUUUCAGCACUCGCCCUUGGGCGACCAGCUAAACUCAUUAAAAUCUCUCUCCUUGUCAGGAGACUCUUGGCCGAACUAUUGUCUAGCUUGAGUGGGAAGCGGACCACGAAGGAAUUCGUUACCCAUCCACCACCCACUUAAUAGCCACUGUCGAUGACUUAACCGACAUGCUUGAUUUCGACUCUGAAGACAUCGAUGGUAUGGACGACGAUGCCGGAGAAGAACAGGAACCACCGCCCACAAGGCGCUGGACAACCACAUCAUCAUAUGACAUAUAUAUGGUGGACACACCCAAAAAAACAAUGGCGAGGAUCAAAAAGAUGCAACAGAGGAUAAUCCUCUCGAGAAGCAGCCGAAGGCCGACGUCAGUGGCGCCGUUCUAAACCACGCCAAGGUAGAAACAACGAUACCGGCACAAGAGAUAAUAGCACUCCGAAUGAUGCCGAAGACGAAAACAAUCCCGCCCAGCCAAGCUUCAAACAGGCUGGACGGGAUGAUGGGCAAGCUAGCCUCGACGAACAGGCCAUGAAUGAAGACUCGGAGGAUGACAAUUACAUGCCCCUCUCCGAAGACGAGGUGAGCCUCGGCGAUGAAGAAUUGACCAUGCCAGAGGAUCCCGUCGAGCAGGAGUGCUUCAAGCGCAGGCUUAUAGCCACUGCAAAGAGCCUGAAGAAAAAACAGCAGCAACUUCGAGCUGAUCAAGAUCUGCUCACUGAUAGAUGGAGUGAGGUCUUGGCGGCCGAGGAAUACGGACUCGAGCGCCCAACCAAAAGUUACCCGAGGCGCAGGUUGUUACCUCAAUUCGAGGACAAGGCACUAGAGCCCAUACUACCAGCGCAGGAUGCGGCUGACCGACCACCUCGUGGACGAGACAAAGCGGCGUAUCAGUCCGAACACCAACCCGCACCCCGUCGCCAAACAAAUAAAAACACGAAGGCCCGAGGCUACACGCAUGACCUGCGAGACGAAUUGGAAAACAAAGCAGGACAGUCAAGAUCGAUCCACGGAUCACAGGGGUGUGCCCCAAUGCGCGACGAUGACCGCCAUGUCGGAUAUACCAAAUACAAAUCCGCCCGGGCCAAACACAACAUACCAGAUUCAUCCAAGCUGCGUCGCGAUGUAGCCCGGCAUAGAGGCGCUGCACACCCCCUAUGCUUCACCGAUGAAGUAAUGGAGCAUGAAUUCCCAGAAGGGUUUAAACCCGUAAACAUCGAACCAUAUGAUGGGACAACAGACCCCGCGGUAUGGAUUGAAGAUUUCCUUCUCCACAUUCACAUGGCCCGCGGCGAUGAUCUCCAUGCCAUCAAGUACCUCCCACUAAAACUCAAGGGACCAGCUCGGCACUGGCUGAAUAGUCUGUCGGGGAACUCCAUUGGCAGUUGGGAGAACCUGGAAGACGCAUUCCUUGAGAACUUUCAGGGCACUUAUGUGCGACCACCGGACGCUGAUGACUUAAGUCACAUAACCCAACAGCCCGGAGAGUCAGCCAGGAAAUUCUGGACUCGGUUCUUAACUAAAAAGAACCAAAUCAUCGACUGUCUGGAUGCCGAAGCCCUAGCGUCCUUUAAGCAUAACAUCCGUGACGAGUGGCUCGCCCAACACCUCGGCCAAGAGAAGUCGCAAUCCAUGGCAGCCCUCACGACACUCAUGACCCGCUUCUGUGCAGGCGAGGAUAGCUGGUUGGCUCGUAGCAACAGCACAUCAAGAAAUCCUGGCACUUCAGACGUCAGAGAUAGCAACGGCAAGCCCCGUCGCAACAGACACAAGCAUCACAACAAUGGCGAUAACGCCGAAGACACGGCCGUCAAUGCAAGAUUCAGUGGCUCCAAGUCCGGUCAACGGAAAAAGCCAUUCAAAAGAAACAGUCCGGGCACGUCCAGUCUAGACCGUAUACUUGACCGUCCAUGUCAAAUUCACAGCACCCCAAGAACACCAGCCAAUCAUACCAACAGAGAAUGCUGGGUCUUCAAACAAGCCGGCAAUUCAGGUGCUGAAAGCAAGGAGAAGGGGUUGCAAAGCAAUGACGACGAUGAGAAGCCCCGGCCACCGAACACAGGAGGGCAAAAGAAGUUUCCCUCACAAAUCAACAUGGUGAAUAUGAUAAACGCCACCCAUAUUCCCAAAUGGGAGCGGAGGCGCACACUUAGGGACGUCUACGCAACGAAGCUAGUCGCCCCAAAAUAUAAUCCAUGUUCGUCCGACCCGAUCACCUUUGACCGCAAGGAUCAUCCGACCAAUAUCCGUCAGGGCGGCUCAGCUGCACUAGUUCUUGACCCAAUAAUUGACGGAUUCCACCUGACAUGAGUCCUUAUGGACGGAGGCAGCAGUCUGAACCUGCUUUAUCAGGAUACAGUGCACAAGAUGGGUAUCGAUCCUUCAAAGAUCAAACCCACUAAGACCACCUUUAAAGGUGUUAUACCAGGCAUGGAGGCCCGCUGUACAGGCUCCAUCACUCUAGAAGUAGUCUUCGGAUCCCUGGAUAAUUACCGCAAUGAAGAGUUAAUCUUUGAUAUCGUCCCUUUUCGCAGCAGCUAUCACACACUGCUCGGACGAACCACAUUUUCUCGAUUCAACGCGGUGCCACACUACGUUUAUCUUAAGCUCAAGAUGCCUGGUCCACUCGGCGUCAUAACAGUUAAUGGCAAAGCUGAACGCUCCCUCCGUACCGAAGAGCACACCGCGGCCUUAGCAGUAGAAGCGCAGAGUGGCAUUUUUCAAUUGAACCUUCAUUCGACAGUCAGGCUCCCGAACACCGUCAAAAGAGUCAGAACUAUUUCACGGAAGGAUAGCCCAACUUGUCAAGAGCUCAAUUAACCACUUCGGCGAUAGGCGGAGGCAAAGCUAGAUUAGGCCCCACAAUGCGGCUUAACCGCUCUGUGGCACACAAACAUUUUUUGCAUUUUCUUUGUAGGUUCACUUUUGUCUAGGCCAUCACUCGCAACAUGGCGACCGAACCCAUGAGGGGACGAACAUACCAAGGAGGGAAACAGCUCGAACGCAUAAGGGAAUCCUUAGAUAUUCCCCUUGAUGAUCAUCCGAUUAUUCAACGGAUCCGCACACAGCCCCCCUGGUCUCAGCAGGUUCUGAAGUCAUAUUUCUUUUUAUCGCACUACUUGUAUUCGUACGCCUCGACGUAUUAUUCAAUUACAACAUGCGACUUUAUAUGACGCUUACUUGCUGCUCUUUCUUAUUGAUACUUUUUGUCAAGCAGCAUCCGUACACUAUGGUACACCUUAAUAUGCCAGGGGCCUCGUUGUACCCAUAAUACGACAACAAAGUACGAACACCCUCACGGUCGUUUGGCACCCCAAACUUAUAGCAUUAUAUGCAUCGGCUCCAAAUCAUGUCUUGGGUCAAUAGUUGGGUUGCCCGACUCCUGUGCUUGCUACCCUACGUUCCGCUAUAUCGGCUAGGGUAGUAAAGGGAGAACUACUGCGAUUGUGUCCCGGUUCUUUCGGACGAGCACCUCAGUAGAGAAAGCCGAAAGCUGACUGUCAUGAUGCGGCGAGAGCUGGUCAGCUAUUCCAGAGGUUACAAAAUCUUUAAGGAUUUCUUUCGCAUUAUGCGAUAACUAAUGCAGCGUGCGACGGAUCGACUCUUUUCUUAUGAUCAGGUGCUUAUAGAGCCCCUAGUGCGGUCUUCCGAACACCAGGGGCUGCGCCUACCUUUCUUUUGUCAAACUCCUAUGGCUAAGUGAGGGUGAUAAAGCCUUAUAGUCUGAUUGCCUGGUUCGUUGCACUGAACACCUCCUUCAAGGACCCAAAAUUGGGGUAAAGAGUGUUCAGCUUCAUCCCGAACACACCCGUAGUUCCUACGUGGGGGCAGAAGCCAACGACUGGCCAACUCUCAGGAUUAAUAUAUAAAACGGCCGCACAGGAGGUAAAAUUUUCCAAAUAAUAGGCGUUAUAUUACAUAAACAACCUUGUUCAACAUUACAAAGGAUAACAUGAAUGUAUUCAUGGGAAUAUAAUAUCCUUGGCACAUUGCUCCGCUACAAGGCGGGAUCCCUUUAGGGACUGUCAUAAUAUAACUCGGGCUUGUGGUGCUCCUUCCCCGUAGGCGGUCCUUUGGUCAUCAGCUUUUCAGCAUCCAUCUUCACCCAGUGCACCUUGGCGCGGGCGAAGGCCAUUCGCACACCUUCCAUACAGACCGACCGCUUGAUGACUUCAAGUCGAGGGCAGGCACGUACAAGCCGCUUCACGAGCCCGAAGUAGCUGUUGGGAAUCGCCUGGCGGGCCAUAGCCGGAUAAUUAAAUCCUUCAUGGCUAGUUCGGCCGCCCUAUGCAGCUCGAUCAGCUGUUUCAGUUGAUCGGCAAAGGGCAUUGGAUGCUCUGGUGCCAGAUAUUGCGAACAGAACAGCUUCUCCGUAGAGCUCCUUUCUUCGGCUCGGUAGAAUUGUGCGGCAUCAGAUACGCUGUGCAGCAGUUCCACAAACACCCCUGGAGAAAUCUGAAUUCAGAUUAGUAACAUAACUUUCUUCCUUCAAAUAUUUGCUUUGCAUAGAAAAAGCCUUACCCGCCGCGAUCUUUAUGGCCUCCUGGAUUUCCUGAAGGGCGCCUUGGGCUUCGCCCCGGGCAUCGUGUGCGGCUUGACGAGCCUUGGUGAGUUUGGAUUCUUUCUCCGUUAAACUCCGCUCCAAGGUCUCACACUUCUUCACGGCCUCUUGGAGCUCUUGCUGAACUUCAAUAACCCUGGCCUCAUGCUUUUCACGAAGGGCCUGCUCUUUGUCCGCCUUCUUCUCGGCCUCGGCCACUGCCUUCCUAAGAGCCUCGACUUCGGCCGUCGCUCCUAGAGCACAUCAUGAUUUUUUUGUCAUACUCAAUUAUUCAUUCGUACUGAAUGCAAACAAGGUUUUUUUGCAUACCUUGGUUAUCCUUCAACUGCUUCUUCACUUGGCCAAGUUCUUCUUCGGCCUGCUCCAGACUCUGCUUCAGUCCAGAGACUUCCGCAGUAUGAGAGGUGGCAGUCACUACAGACGCCUGCUUAGAAAAACAAAAGAGGGAGAGGUACUACAAGGUAAGUCUCCUGCGAACAUAUAUUUGAUCCCCUGUCCGACUUUUUCUUCCGAACACCGAACAGUGUAUCAGGGGCUACUAUCUAUACUAUGACACUCUUUGAAACCUCACAACAUACCUCAAAGCCCGUUAUAAGGCUGAUGUAGGCUUCAGUCGGCCCGCUUUCGGCAGACUGAAUCUUCUCAAUCACCGCACCCAUAAGGGCACGAUGUUCUUCAAUGAUGGAAGCGUUCUUCAGCGCUGCUGAUAAGGUAUCCGGCACCUAUGGUUGGGCAGAGGUUGCCGGUGGAACAGGCACACCCCCUUCUGUUGAGGGAGGUGGCCCGCCUGAUUCCAGAGCCGUGUUGGUCUCUGGAACUAUGUCCGGCUGGGGACCGAAUUCAAGAUAGCCCCCGCCGUCGGUGUCCAUGGGGGCCUUUUCCCCCAUGUGUCCGGCCACCGAGGUUUGACCCUUUGGCGCCGCCUUGACAGUCUUCCCAGCCCCUCCUCGGCCUGGGUCCCUUUGGGACGAUACCUCGGUGUCGUCCACGUGUUUUGGGGAGGGGGCCAUCGGGGGAGUCCCGCUGUCCAUAGCGUCCGAACCCAGUGAAUCCUCCGAUGAGGAUUGCUCAGCGCGGGACCUGACCGGACUGCAAAAAAUGCGUGACUCAAUGCGUUAAACGCUAUACGAUAGUGAGUCUGGAUAUACAAACGUGUCCAGGUUUUAUAUACUCACGAUUUAACCAGGGGCUGGACCCUGGGAUCCCACUCUGGGCUGUUGUCGGUGGCGGUGGCAGAUUCAUCCGGAAAGGGGGGUUUUUCCCUUCUUAGGCGACUCAGCCUCCAAGUGUAUGGAUGCCGUCCUUUUCUUUCUCCCCCUCGCUGGGGGGGGGGAUCGUCUUUCCUCCUCUUCGUCAUCCUCUUUGGAGGAAGAGCGGGCCUCAAAGUCUUUGGAUACUAUGUUCGCAGUACCCUGGUGAUGAAGGCCGCCCAUGGUCUCUUUGGCCUCUUUCUCGGCUUUCUUCUUCGGCGCCUUGUAAGGCGCCGGGACCAGCAUCUUUGUCAGAAGUGGGCCGGCUUGUUCUUCUGGUAGCGGGACCGGGCAGUAGAUCCGCCCUGGCUUCUUCGUCCAACCCUAGGAGAGUUGUUGGAAAAUGCAUUAAGUGUUUCCCUUGGAUAAUGCAGAUAAAGCAUAUGACUUGCCAACAUACGAAGACUUACCGAACUCGCGGGUCGGGACAGUUGGUACCCGCGGUCCUCGGCUGAAUCCGGCCAUGAUUUGCUGGACUUAAAGAGCACCUUCCAGAUGUGUUUGUGCGAUGAGUCGAAGAACCCUAUGAUACGCCCAUUUUGCAUCAUGCUUUUAUAUCGAUAUUUAUUGCAUUAUGGGCUGUUAUUACACAUCAUGUCACAAUACUUAUGGCUAUUCUCUCUUAUUUUACAAGGUUUAUCAUGAAGAGGGAGAAUGCCGGUAGCUGGGAUUCUGGCUGGAAAAGGAGCAAAUAUUGGAAACCUAUUCUGCACAGCUCCAAAAAUCCUGAAACUCCAUGGAAGUCAUUUUUGAAAUUAAUAAGAAUUACUGAGCGAAGAAAAUACCAGAGGGGGCCCACACCCUGGCCAGGAGGGUGGGGGGCGCGCCUCCUAUCUUCCGGGCCCCCUGUUGGCCCUCCGGUGCCCAUCUUCUGCUAUAUGAAGGCUUUUACCCUGAAAAAAAUCAUAAGCAAGCUCACGGGACGAAACUCCGCCGCCAUGAGGCGAAACCUUGGCGGAACCAAUCUAGGGCUCCGGCGGAGCUGUUCUGCCGGGCAAACCUCCCUCCGGGAGGGGGAAAUCAUCACCAUCAUCAUCACCAAUGAUCCUCUCAUCGGGAGGGGGUCAAUCUCCAUCAACAUCUUCACCAGCACCAUCUCCUCUCAAAACCCUAGUUCAUAUCUUGUAUCCAAUCUUGUAUCAAAACCACAAAUUGGUACCUGUGGGUUGCUAGUAGUGUUGAUUACUCCUUGUAGUUGAUGCUAAUUGGUUUGCUUGGUGGAAGAUCAUAUGUUCAGAUCCUUACACUACUAGGGAAAAGCCUAUACACAGAAUCUUAGCAGCAGCGCGGCUAAAAAAGGAGCGCUGCUGCUAAUUAGGAGUAGCGCGGGUGUGUAAAACCCACUACUGACAAGCGUUUAGCAGUAGCGCGCUUGGUGUUACCUGCGCUGCUACAAAUAUCGACCGACAGUGCCCCCCAAACUCCAUUUAGUAGCAGCGCGGUUUCGCGAGCCGCGCUACUGCUAUGGAUGUAGUAGUAGCGCACUUUUUCUGAGGUCGCUGCUGCUAAUUUUCAAAUGGGACACACUUUUUGUCCCGGUUAGCAGUAGCGCUUCUGCCGAAAGCGCGCUGCUGCUACUUUCUUAUCAGCAGCGUGUUUUACGUCCCGCGCUACUGCUAAUCCGCACCAACCCACCACCUUUUCCCCACCCGUCCCCUCCCCUCCCCCUCCUCUCUUCCCUUUCCCCUACCUCCCACAUCCUACCACUCUCACUCUCAUUCUUCCUCAACACUUCUCCCCCAUUACUCUCCCUCUUCUACCUACCUUUCUCUCUCUUCAUUACUCCUACCUAACUACACCAUCUCCAUUAAUGCAUCUCCUUUCUCUUUUUCCUUCCCCCUCCACUAGUUGAAGUUGUCUCCUCCCAAAUUAGGUAGCUAGGUUGAUAUAGCAUUUAGUUAAGUGACCUAUUUGCCCCCUAACUAGAUCUAUCUUUGUCAAGAAGAGCUUUGGGCACUUUUGAUCUCCCUACAUCAUCAUCUCAUCACCGUGUGCUCGAUCUCGAGAUAGAGGUGAUGAAAAUUUCAUGCUUUUGCAAAAUGGAAAUAUGUUUAUGUGUGUGUGAUAUGUUUGUGGAAAUUGUGUGUGUGGCAUGAGUUGAUGCCAAAUUGUGCUUUUGAGUUGCCUAUGUUUUGCCGAAAUGUCGAUUUAUUUCCAUUUCGGCAAAUUCCGGGCAAAAUCUAGAUCCAUAUAUGUCCUAUUUUUAGGGAAGGUCAUGCCGAAUUUUUGUAUGACUUUGAUGCAUGCACGCAUUUUUAUAAUCAAUUUGUUUUAUUAUUACCGUGCAGGCGUUCAUGAUGGUCAGUGGAACGAUGGUGGACAUGUGGUUGCGGUCGGCGGUGCAGGACAUGAAAGAAAAUAACCUGACAGAGGUUUUAUGUCCGUGUCGAAAAUGCAAAGGAAUAGUUUGGCUCGACCCCUAUGACGAUGGUCAUGUCGAAGCGCACCUGCUCAUGACUGGUUUUAUGGAUGGCUAUACUCAGUGGAUAACUGAAGACGAGGAUGACGAUGUUGAGGAUGCCGACGGGGUAGGCAAUGAUGACACGGGGCAAGACGAAGAGAUGAUCGAUAAUGGCGGUGGGGAAGAGGCCGGACAUGGCGGCGGAGAAGGGGCCGGACAUGGUGGAGGAGAAGGGGCCGGACAUGGCGGCGGAGAGAACGACAUGGACUCCACGCAACAGAGUUUGUCGGUACUAAGUUCAAUCAUGCGGGACCCUCAUGUUCAAGCAUUGCUUCGCAAGGAGACGAGUACUGAGAGAGCUGCUUCUAGAGAGGAGGCUAAGGUGGAGCAACUGGUGGUAGACUCGAACACUCCAUUGUAUGAUGGUUGCAAUCCUGAGGUGACCCGCUUGAGUUUCACGCUCCAACUCCUGAAGACGAAGGCUAAAAACAAAUGGACCGACACUAGCCUCGAUGAGCAUCUCAAGUACCUAAAGGAUGUUCUUCCCGUGGGUAAUCUAUGUCCUACUAGUGUUGAUGAGGCCAAGAAGAUCGUGUGCCCUCUUGAUUUGCCACACGUUAGAUACCAUGCAUGCAUCAACGAUUGCAUAAUUUAUCGGAAGGAGGACGCGGAAAAAACAAGUUGUCCGGUGUGCAAUGCUUCUCGAUACAAGAAGGCCGGGAAGAAAUGUCCCCAGAAAGUUGUAUGGUACUUACCGAUCACUCCCCGUCUCUAGAGGUAUUUUGUAGAUCCCAAGGAAGCAAAGCUAAUGCGCUGGCACGCGGAGAGGAAGAAGCCCGACGAUGGAGAUGAUCCGAAGCUGAGACACGUGAAGGAUGGAAGCCAGUGGAGAGCGUUGAACAACUUCUAUCAGUAUUUUGAAUGUGAUGCAAGAAACAUCGUGCUCGGCGUGUGUACCGAUGGCAUGAAUCCGUUUGGCAACCAGAACACCAACCAUAGCACAUGGCCCAUGUUUGUAUGGAUGUACAACCUCCCCCCUGGUUGUGCAUGAAAUCGAAGUACAUUCACAUGAGCAUGCGUAUUCAAGGGCCGAAACAACCAGGAAAUAAUAUUAAUUUGUAUUUGGGGCUACUUCAAGAGGAGUUAGACACGUUAUGGAAAACACCGGCCAAGACAUGGGACGCCAGCAAAGGCGAGUAUUUCAACAUGAGAGCCGCGCUGAUCACGACAGUGCAGGACUAUCUCGGUUACGGAUAUGUGGCAGGCCAGGUGUGCCAUGGAUAUUGCGGAUGCACGCGGUGCAUGGAUGAUACAACGUCUCAGCAGCUAACGUCAAGGAAAGAUGGCGGGUCUGAGAAAAUCGUGUACAUGGGGCAUCGAAGAUGGCUUGAACAGGACGACCCGUGGAGAAACCAUGGAGAUCUAUUCAAUGGUCACACUGAGCAUCGAGGACCUCCACGUAAGCAGAGCGGUGCCGAAAUCGAUGAGCUGUUGAAAAACUGGAAGGAGUGCCCCGCGCCGGGAAAGACGAUGAGAAAGGCGCCGGAGCUGCUGCUGAAGGUAUGGAAGACGAGGUCUGUGUUCUGGGACUUGGAGUACUGGCACAAACUCGAUACACCUCAUUGCCUUAAUCAAAUGCAUAUCUGUAUGAAUGUCCUUGAGAGCUUGCUCGCAACACUGAUGAACAUGCCGAAUAAGACCAAGGAUGGGCCAAAGGCAAGAAAAGACUUGCAAGAUUUGAAAAUCAGGGAAGAUCUGCACAUGCCGCCCCGUAAAAUGUCAGACGAGACAGAGACGGAGAUAGAGGCACGGGAGAAGAAGGGCAAGAAAAUAAAGAAAGAGGAUUAUUGCCCCCUUCUUGCUUCACCUUAAGUCAGGCUGAGAUCAAUGCCUUCUUUAAGUGCCUUACCGGAGUCAAAGUUAAUUUCGGUUACUGUGGCAAGAUAAGCAGAUAUCUAGACACGGACAAGAAAAGGUUCAGUGGGAUGAAGUCUCAUGACUGUCAUGUGAUGAUGACGCAGAUACUACCUAUUGCCCUUAGAGGGAUAAUGGACAAGCACGUCCAUGACACGCUUAUUGGUCUCUGCAACUUUUUCGACGUCAUCUCUCGAAAGUCGAUCAGUGUGAAGCAGCUCCGAAGGCUACAGGAAGAGAUGGUUGUGAUACUGAAUGAGCUUGAGAUGUACUUCCCGCCUGCGUUCUUUGACGUGAUGAUGCAUCUAUGUGUCCACAUUGUGGAUGACAUAAUAGACCUGGGGCCGUCAUUCCUGCACAACAUGAUGCCGUUUGAGAGGAUGAAUGGGAUCAUCAAAGGAUUCAUUCGUAACAUGUCCCGUCUGGAUGGAAGCAUCGUCCAGGGCUAUUUGACACAAGAGUGCAUCUCUUUCUGUGAGAAUUUUCUAUAUGGCGUAGACCAGCAGCCUGGUGUUAGUGUUGGUUUGCCCGUUAACAAGCACGAUGGGAGGCUCGAAGGAGAUGGUCACUGCAACAGUCGUAGGGAACUGCACGUGGCAUACUCAGAUCAACGCAGCGACUUUGACAGAGCAAACUUGGUAGUGCUACAAUGCCUAGACGAGGUAGAUCCUUUCGUGGCACUGCACAAAGAAAUUAUCGCAAAGAAGUAUCGUGACCGGGGGGUAUGCAGGACGGACGCCGAAGUUACUAGAGAGCACAACUCCACUUUCCUGCAUUGGUUCAAAGAGCAUAUUAUUGCUAAUCCCCCGAAGGAGGGCUCUAAGGACGAAUUGCUCAUAUACGCAUUAGCACAUGGCCCCUCACCCAACCUCGUAACCUAUCAGGCAUAUGAUAUCAACGGAUACACGUUCUACACGAAGGCCAAAGAUAUGGACAAUGAUGAUCAGAACUCAGGGGUGAUGAUGGAAUGCAUGACCGGCAGCGACAACGGUGCAACUGAAUGAUUUUAUGGAAGGGUCGAGGAGAUCUGGGAGCUUGACUACUCUGGACUGCACAACACGAUGAUGUUCCAUAUUAGAUGGGCUAAGAAUGUUGAAAGAGAAAGCCGGAUUUUCACUACCAUGACUAUACCCGACGCCAAGAGCGCUACCGUGAACGCUAUCGCAAAAAACGAGCCACGGGUACACGCUAAACACGUGACACAAUGCUUCUUCAUAACCGACCCACGCAAUCCCAGCCGUGUUGUCGUGAGGAGAGGCAAAAGGAACAUCAUUGGAAUGGAUGGAGUCGCCAACGAGGAAGACUAUGAUCAGUAUGGAAACCCAAUGAGGGAAGAUGACGAUGAUGAUGAAGUAUAUGUCAAAAGAAGAAUCAAUACUACAUUACCUAAGAAAAAUCGCACUCCAUGGGAAAGGCAAAGUCACAAUGAGGGGCUCAAUUAUUCUUCGACGAACAAGAAGGGAAAGAAGCUGACUCAAAAACGAAAACGUCAGCGCUGAGGAACCGUAUGUUAUCGGUCAAAUGAUGUAAUAUAUAUAUAUAUAUAUAUAUAUAUAUAUAUAUAUAUAUAUAUAUAUAUAUGUUCCUAUUUUGUAUACACACUUAGCCAUUAUUAUGUGUGGGUCCAAUGAUGUAAUAUAUAUGUUCCUAUUUUGCAUAUAUAUUUAACCGUCAAAUGAUGCUCUAGGGAAAUAAAAGUGGGAGAAAAUAAAGGAAAAGAAAAAGGAAAACUGGCAGUAGUAGUAGCGCNNNNNNNNNNNNNNNNNNNNNNNNNNNNNNNNNNNNNNNNNNNNNNNNNNNNNNNNNNNNNNNNNNNNNNNNNNNNNNNNNNNNNNNNNNNNNNNNNNNNNNNNNNNNNNNNNNNNNNNNNNNNNNNNNNNNNNNNNNNNNNNNNNNNNNNNNNNNNNNNNNNNNNNNNNNNNNNNNNNNNNNNNNNNNNNNNNNNNNNNNNNNNNNNNNNNNNNNNNNNNNNNNNNNNNNNNNNNNNNNNNNNNNNNNNNNNNNNNNNNNNNNNNNNNNNNNNNNNNNNNNNNNNNNNNNNNNNNNNNNNNNNNNNNNNNNNNNNNNNNNNNNNNNNNNNNNNNNNNNNNNNCAGGCGCUCGCCCCCGACCCGUCAGCCCUUGCCUCCCUCCUCUGCUUCCUCCCCUGCCAACCUCGGCCGUCGUCGGGCCUGCCUCCUCGCCCCUGCACCCUCUGUAAACCCCCCUCUCUCUUUGCUAGGGUUCCUCGGUUAAUUUACUUAGGUUUUAGUUAGGGCAGUAUGUUAAUUAGGUUAUCUAUUUAGUUAUGAAUUUAGCUAGGUUUCAAAAUUAGCUGAAUUUAUAUGCAAAUUUGAACUGGACAUGUGAUAUGUGGAUAUGUCAUGUUUUGGACAUGUCAUGUUUGGAAAAUGAUCCGAGUGGCCUAUGUUACACUGGAAUGUUGAUUCAUUUCCGUUCUGGUGAAUUUCAGGCGCUCGUAAUGUCCAUUUUUGAGCAAAGGUCAUGCCAAAAUUUCCCGUGAAUAAAGGCAUGAUUUGUGCUACAUAGUUGGCAUAUCGAGUGCUGGCACAUAUAUAUUUCUUUUUAUGUCAUUUCUCAUUUAUUCAUACUUUUAGAAAUAAAUGAGGACACUUAAUCAUAGGAAACAUGUUGAACAACGAAGAAACUGGGCCUUCUGACCAAGAUGCAGACGAGAUGGAUUAUGAGGGUGAACAAGAGUACCUCGACUAUUUGACUGCUAAGCAAGGUUUGCAGGUCGGCCUCGAUGAUGGUACUGACGCUGACAUCAACACCGACGGCGCUGGCACCGAUGGCGGCACCGAGACCGAUGGGGAAAGUACCAGCCCCGAUGCCACUACCAAAAAGAGGAAGCAUAAGAAGCAGAGGAUACGAAAACCUAACAAACUAGGGAUUGGACGACUUGUGAUCACAAAGAUGGCACCUAGCAAGUUUGAGCCAUUAGAGCCGGAAGAACCUCGCAAGUGCUAUGGGAACCAAGUAGGAUGCAUCCUACGAGAAUGCGCGAGCAUCAACGACGAUGACUUAAGGAGUAAAGAACAUUUGACGCAGUUGCUCCUAACGAAGUUGCACAAGAGAUUCAAGUUCCCCGACCGGGAUGAUAACAUAGUACAACCGUGGGAUGAUCCGAAGAUGAAAAAGAUUAACAAUCACGCCAUGAGCAUGUCCAGCAAUGAUUUGGCCUCCUGGAAAGGGAGGGUGAAACGAGCUAUUGAGGCUGAUGAACCCUUGUCCAAGAUUCUGGAGGAAAAUCCGACACUUACGGAAGAGGAGUUCGAAAAGUUCAAGGACACUUGCGCUACCGAGGCAGCCAAGGCUAAGGCUGCGAAAUUGAAGAGCCUUCAGCAAAGGAACACGGGGAAGCAUCACCUUGGAAGCCGUGGCUACCUCGGUAAAAGGCCCAUAUGGGAUAAGGAGGAUGCAGAACAUGAAGCUGCGGGUCUCCCAGACCCCUUCGCGAAGUUCACCAACCCCUUGGAGCGUGACUUCAUCAGGGCCCGCUACAAGUGGGACAAGGAGAAAAAGGUUUUUUACACGGACAAGAUCACGAGGAAAUUGAUUAGACUACAGGAGAAGCAACACCAGCUUGCAGCCGAAAGCCCAAUGAAAUCCGGCAUGUUUAUAUGAAAUUCAACCGUGUAUGAAUGAAUUUAUUUCGAUUAGUUCGAACUCCUAUAUCACUGGCAUUGGAUGAACAUGCAAAACAACACGUACUAGCAUUAUUCCCAGGGUGAUCACCUCGUUUGCAGCAGUUUCACAUGUAUAUCUACUUUGACCAAUCUUAUACAAAAAAGUAUGCACUCUCACAAUGUGCGCAGUAAAAAGGAACAGAAGGAGUACAAAGAGUUUGAGAAGCUUUUUAGCGUUUCUGUACAUUGCAAUCAAACACACAGGCCUAGCAAUUCAUAGAGAACAAUCAAAACAAUCGAUGAUUAUGCAUCUCAGCGACUCACAUGUCAGAGGCAAUAUUUACUUCAUAACUAAAGAAUAAAGAAAAAGUUGAUUGACGCUGUUGACAGUAAAAGGCGUCCCAUUCGAAAAUAUCAAACACAUGUCUUGCUAAAAUCAAUGAGCAAAAUUUGACAUGGUUUUCCCAUUCCAAAAUAUCAAAUGCCUACGAUUGUGGAAUGGGCAAGGUUUGCCAUCAGUUCGGACAUUGACAUGGCACCUCGUGCUAAAUAAACUAGCUGUUCUUUUUGUGCAGUUCCACCAAAAUCAACCAAAUUCGCGCGUAGCUUGUAUGAUUUCGCCCUUAUAUGUUGCAAUGCCUUGAACUUAUUGGCACCUCCUUUCUUGUGGUGGAAAUGAAUGAUUCGAUAUAUUCAUGAACAUUUUGUGCAGUUCCCAUUGAAAUCAAGCUGAGCACCCUUGUUUGCACAAAUACAAAAAAGUGAUUAGUAUAAAGCAAACUGUACUACGAAUUGACAGUUUCAACAGGCACAUACAUGGUCCAUGUAGAGCACACUUUUAGAAAAAUGGAACUCACCAGAAAGAAUCCUAGAACAUUGUACUCGCGCAUCACAACAAAAAAAUGGAGAUUUGUUAGUCCUUCUGAGCUGAAGUUAGUUUGGUCUUGUGGGGAGUAAUGUAACCAUCCUUCAACUGCUCCUUCUGAUGAGAAGAUAGACAGGGCUUCUUCAUCCUAGCAUAAUCGCAACUAGUCACUUCACGUACUCCAUAUUCUUCUUCAGAGGAAGAUGAUCCUGUUGUGCAAAGACAAGAGGACUACUAAAUGCUAGCAUCCCUGUUUGCUCGAAAAAAAGGAAAGGAAAUAUUUAAAACAACACAGAUGAAGCAUUUCUCAAGGACAAUACCACUUUUUCAUGACAGUAUCUAAAUAGUAGCACAACACCAAUAGAGAUGACAAAGCUCAAUCAUAUGGAUGAAAACAGUGGGCGAGUACCAACCUUUGUCAGGAGGCUUAUUGUGUAGAGCAUACAGAUGAAGCACUUCUCUGGAACCAUCUGUUGCUAUCUACGGUGGUGGCCAUGCUUACUAUAUACUCCUCGAUUAGUUUAAUGUUUCCAACAUCUUCUUGUGCAGUUCCACUAAAAUCUAUGGUAUCUUCAAAGAAGAUCCCUGUUUGCACAAGUAGAGAUAAUUACGUAUUACAUUAAGAGUGGCAUCAAAUCAGUGGCAAAACAAUUGCUCGUUCCAGCCAUAGCAAUAAAUUAAGAUGCAAAACUAUAUCAUUACUUGUGUCAUCACAGUUCUAGUUCUUCAUUACAGCACCGGGAGUUGAUUUUUGUUUUUAUUCCGCUUGUUCUUCCCCUUCAUCACUUGGUUCAAUAACAGACAAGCUUCGCCUUCAAUGUAAGAUUUGGCAUGUCAAUUAGGGAGCACAAGUAUAGUACUAAACUUAAUUUUCUGAUGGAAGUGGCAAAAUACAGACCAACAGUUGUGAAAUAUCCUUAUCUUACCUCAAUGGGAUAUUACGGUGCACAUACAGAUUGGAAGUCUUGUCUCCAUUUGUGCAGUUCACUAAAAUCAAGCAACAUUAUCGUACAAGUAGCACAAUAUAUGAAAGCACGCUGCAGAAUCAUGUGAAAGAAGGCUAGUACUGACCUCUCAUGAUGCGGAAUUCAAACAACUCACAAGAAGAAGAUCUGAACCAAAUUCGCCUUAACGGAUAGGAAGUAAGAUCUCCUCUUGUGUAGUUCCACUAAGAUCAAGCAAUCAAGCAACAUUGUCGGUGUGACAUUUUGGUUGAACUGCACAAAACACUCUUAAAACAAAAGUGUUUUGUGCAGUGCAACAAAAGGUCACAAUGGCAACGAGGUGAAGUAGAUAACCCUGUUUACACAGAGGUGCAAAGGAAACAAUUAGUGGUCAAUAACGGUGGAUGACACAGAAGCCAACAAAAAGAAGCAUCUACCUUAUCUAAAUGGGAAAGAAAGCAAGACAGUAGCAUUUCUCAAACAGUGGCAUUGAUUAAUAUUAACAUAGAGAUUAUAUUAACAAUAAAAUUUGUUAAACAUGUAAUUUGCUUUUAACUAUGGCAUUGCAUCAAUUUUCCAGCGGCAUUAUUAGAGGGUGUUUGUUUACAGGGACAUUUUGGUGUAGGGACUAAAAAAACCCGUGUCAGUCCAAUCUAAACCAAACAGGAGGGACUUUUAGGGACUAAAAGUGGGCAUUUGGGACUAAAGAAAGAAGACCCCGAGGGAGUCCUUUUGGGACUUUUUCCAAUAGUUGACCCUGCCACGCAUCGCACCUUGUCUCUAUUAGUUCAUUACUAGGGGCAACAUGGUCUUUUAGCAUGUCAUUUAAUAACCUCUAGUCCAUGUUUAGUCCCUAGAACCAAGCAGGUAGGGACUAGGGUUUUUUAACCAAACAGGGCCUUGGAUUAACAACAGCUAAUGAGUUGCACGGGACAGUGGACGCCCCAGCACCAUGUGCAUCUACCGAUGUACUGUGGUCAUGCAUAGUCUGUUGCAACAAAGAACAAACAACCAAGGAGCAUAUUUAUGUUGGUUCCAGUUUUGUUAUCUUUAGACACCUUUUCCUAUGUGAGCGCAACAAAUCUAGUCCUGCUCAAACUCUACAACCUUGUCCCUUCCUUUCCUUUUUGAACUAGUACUUUUGCCCCUUCCUUUCCUCUUUGAACCAUGUCCUAGAUUUAUGCGAUACAAUUUUCCCCACUACUUUCCCCCAUUCCUUUCCUCUUUGAACCACGUCCUAGAUUCAUGCUAUACAACUUUCCCCCUUCAUUUCCUCUUUGAACCACAUCCUUGAUUCAUGCUAUAUACUACUUUUCCCACACGUCCUAGAUUCAUGGCAUACAUGUAGCUAGAGCAAUGCAUGUGGAGUAAGUAAAUUAUACCUUAAGGUUCUUGGGGCGUGGUUCGGUGGGCGACGGGACAGCGGCGAAGAAGAAGGGGUCGGAGGCCCUCCCGCGCCGCCGAUGGGUGGAAAGUGAACAGCAGCGUUAAGCCUCCUUCCCUUCCCGGCGGACGGAUCCUGCCGGCUCUUUGAGUAGCAGUGAGGGAAGAGAGAGGCCAACGAAGUCUUGUUUAGAUCUAGAGAGGGCGAGAGAGUGUGAAGAGAGCAACUACAAGCGCUGAGGCUCCAGCAGGAGAGGGCGAGAGAGUGUGAAGAGAGCAACUACAAGCGCUGAGGCUCCAGCGUGUAUAUAUAUACUGGAGAGAGAGUGUGAAGCGUGCAAACCCUAGAAAACAUUUUGACCAGUCAAAGAAUCCUCCUGGCACAAAUUAUGCUCAAGUGUAGUUAUCGAACCCGAGACCUCAAGUUUGAUGAGCGAACAGGCUAACCAGCUACACAACCCUCCCGUUAUGUUCAACAAGAUGAAAAUAACCUUUUAUACAUUCCUGCAUUCGUGUGACAAGCAUGCCGUGUUUUUUUUGUGUGUGGGAGUCAUUGGGAUUUAAAUCAUAAUCGUGUCAUGUGGCUUUGGUGGUAAGACUAUCCACAGUGGUGCAGAAAUAAUGCAACCUUAGUCACCUUACCUCUCUCCACGUACUACGUUGGGUCCCACCAGUCAGAGGGUGAAACAAACAAAUUAAUAAGAAAAACUAAAGCGCCAGCGGUGUAUCUUACCUCACACAUCUCGCUACUGCUCGGGAACAUUGUCCAAUUGAUCCCUCUGUUCGCUCACGUACUAUUUUAAGUGAAUCCUUAUUAUAACAUGCACACAAAUUUUGGGCACUUGUAUUCGACUUAAGUCAGUGUGCCACCGUAUCUAGUAUACUUACUACUCCCUCCGUCUAGGUGUAAUAAGUCACGUUAGAAGGUGCAACGGGACCAAGGUGCGUGUGUGUGUGUGCGUGCGUGAGUGUGUGUGUGUGUGUGUGUGUGUGUGUGUGUGUGUGUUUAAUAACAUGUGUGCGUUAGAGAGAGUGACAGAUCGACCUACUCCUACAGAGAGAUGGUGUGUAUUAUACGAUUUUAGCCGCGAGAGUCGGUGCAUCCUCUCAUUUCUGGGCGUGUCCGGUAGGGACAUGCGGACAUCUGCCACGCCCGCUCCUGACCAGCCUGGCCCACCCAAAGCCCCUCCAUCGCCUGCGCGCGCUUCCUGCCUGAAACGGUCAGCGCCGCUCCAAAGAAUCGGUGCCGCAUUCAUGCCCAGGAAGAGCAGACGCGACCUCUCACUGGCGCAAGAGUGAUGGUUGCUUCAUCCGUCCAACUUACUGCUGGGUCUAUGUGAUUUGACGACUCAUUAGUCUUUAUUACUGAGGUGGUAGGACUGCUGGAUGUCCCACGCUUUCGGCGAAAGGAGGUACUACCAAUACUAGAUUACAAUUUUCUCCAUUCUUACAGCGGAGGCGUGCAAGAGCAGUGAAAACACGCAGGCUCAGUGAUUACAUGGCCCACCUCACACUAUCACCGUGCGACACUUAACUCUUUACAUAGUACUCCCUCUGUUCCUAAAUAUUACUAGAUGAGUCCCCGCGCGUUGCCGCGGAACAGUGGUAUAUCUCUCUGUGCAAAAUUAUCGAUUUUUAGAACUAAAAAAAACUCUAUAACCGCAUGACAAAUGUGGUAGCCAAACUAAAUAAACUCCCAUCAUUUAGAUCAUCCCACGUAAGGAAAAAAGAUCAGCCAACUCCUACUGCAUAAUGGGAUUAUAUUUUUCUUUUUGACAUAUUAAUGGGACUUAAAAGCUCACUUACAUGCAUGCUACCGGUGCAUGCUUGCAUGCAGACAUGUUGAUGUGAUUUAAAACCCACUCACAUGCAUGUGCCACGGUAUUUCUACAUGCUUGCAUGUGCCUUAGUGUGGAGCCUCUCAACGUCUAGAUCAGACGGCUAUUAUGGACUGAUUUACUUCAUCUAACGGCUACAUCAAUUUUGAUGAUGUGGCUCAAGGAGAGUAUAGAGAAUUCCUAGUAGUGGGGGCUAGCUAUUACUAGUAGAUAAGUCUUUAUAGAGAUUCCACUAGGUGAACUACAUACGGAACAAAAUGAAUGAAUCUACACUUAAAAUGCAUCUAUAUACAUCCGCAUGUGGUUCAUGGUAAAAUCUCUACAAAGACUUAUAUUUAGGAACGGAGGAAGUACUAGUAUAGUACGUACUGUAAUUUAUCAGCGAGAUAAAUUUGUACAAUGCUAUGAAGCUUCCAGCUUCUGUUACAUGUAUCUUGCGUCCAAGGUUGCCCGUUGAAACAUUUCAUCAAAUACAAAGGAGACUAACAUGCAUGCUAUUGCAUCUCAAUGAUUGAUAGAUCAUAGCAAAUAUGUACUCCCUCCAUUCCAAAAUAAGUGUCUCAACUUUGUGCAAACUUUAGUACAAAGUUGUACUACUACUAAAGUUGACACUUAUUUUGGAACAGAGGAAGCUAAAGAAAAAAACGAUCCAUGGAGUCCCUAGCCCUUGAACCGUGAACCCUGACCAGGCUUCAAUUUGCUGGCAACAUUCGAGAUUCCUAAUAAAUGAAGUUUGCAACCUUUUGACCAUUGGAUCAUUUUGUGCAGUUUCACCAAAGUCGAGAUGAGCAUCCCUGUGGCAAAGAAAUUGAAGAAGCGUGAUUAGAAUAAGAUUACUGGGACUAGUUGAUGAGACAUAAACUCAUCACAAAUACAGUAUGUAGAAGCCAGUAGAGGUAUGUGCGGGGCAAAGAAGUAGAGAAAUAUCCACAUGGAGUGAUGUGGGCAGCUGGAGCAGUGGUGCAAGCCGACUGUAAAGGGAGUUGUACCUGAGGGACGUAGCUCAACCUUGAGGAGGGCGGCGGGAGGCGGCAACUGCGCACAUCGCGGCAGUGAGCAAGGGACGGAGGCAACCUCACCGGCUUUGUGAGAGAGAACGGCGGGGACACCUGAUCGGGACGUGCCAACAGUGGGUUUUCGCCGUCGGUGACGGCCACUAGAUCUACACUAAGCAUCCACCCCUUCCCCAAGCGGACGUGAUCCGCCGGGAUGUUAGAGAUGUGGCCACAGUCGUUUUGUGCGAGAGAGUGUGAAGAGAGCAACCCCAACAAGCAACCGUGUAGGCUGGCCCGUCCUGACUAUGUAUAUAGUGGAGCGAUUUCCUUUACUCUCGAUAUAAACCUAUCAUAUUGCGUACGUGCCACUGAAAAAAAAAA